This 52511-nucleotide long non-coding RNA is filed under the name Sorghum bicolor (sorghum). RNAcentral's name for it is "long non-coding RNA (SBIC_LNC003719)". The stretch from base 10441 to 10549 matches the Rfam family "MIR5565 microRNA precursor family". Lineage: Eukaryota; Viridiplantae; Streptophyta; Magnoliopsida; Poales; Poaceae. The record is from RNAcentral.
UAUGGUGCUCUCGGCCGGCCGGUUUGACAGAGCAGAUUAAAUUAAGCUGUUGAGGAUUGCAAACCAGGCUAGCUAACGCUUGUGGAAUCGAGUCCGAUCGAUCCGGUAAUCAGUUCAGCAUGGUCUGAGUGGGGAGCAGGAUCUUGGAGUCGAAGGUGGCGGUGGAGUUGAGCAUCCAGGUGUAGAACGGGUGGAAGACGACGGACGCCGGGCAGCUCAGCGUCGCCGGCAGUUUGGGGCACUUGAUGAAGGUCUUGGCGUCCGUGUCCACGCAGAGGUAGACCUGGUACAGCUGCUUCUUGCCGAACGGCCCGUCCCGGCACUGCAGGCCCGGCUCGACGCCCAGCUUCGCGGCCACCGCCGCCUUGAUCCUCGCCGUGUUGUACAGCUUGUAGUCCGGCAGGAUGCCCUGGUCGGCGAGGGCGCCGAGGAUGUCGGCCUGCUUCCUGAGGCUGAGCGCCGCCUUGAAGUAGUCCAGCUGCUUGAGGCCUGAGCAGACGCCGUAGUUGUCCCAGGCGCUCUUCCACGCGUUCACGCCGUCGGUUGGCGGGCACUUGAGCCUGAUCCAGUAGUGGUUGAUGUUGUUCUCGAUCUUGUCCAGCUGAUCGUACGUGUUCCAUCAAUCGACGAUGCAUGGUGGUUGAUUAAUUAAGCAGGUUUAUUAAGUUUAACAUAUACUAGACAGAGAGUGAGUGUGUGUGAGAGAGGUGAGUUAAUUAAUUAACCUUUUUAGCAUCGAAGGGGCUGCCGUUCCUGCAACGGACUAUGGGCUUGUUAAUGGACACGUCGAAGGUUUGGAAGAACUCGACGAAGAAAUCCUCCGCCGGGUAGCCGUACUUGGGCACGCAGCAACCAUUGUCGCUGUCCUCGCAGUAUGCUCCAGGCCACUGUGCAUACACAGCAAUCCAUCCAUCGAUAGAUUUAGCUAGGCAGCUUGCAACUAAUGAUUUCACUGGCCUACGUAGGAUUUAGCUAGGAAGCUCUCCAUGAAGAUGACAUAUGAAGUCAACAAAUACCAGUUCUGUAAUGUAAAUUGAUUUAUCUAAUAACCACUUUGCGCUCGAGUGUGCACCCAAAUAUUACCGUUUGUACAAAAUGCCGUGUAAAACUAAAACUAUAUAAUAGGCUGUUUUGGGGCUAAUAUAUGAAAUCAGGUGGGGAACACCUCCUCCCGUUGACUUUCAAAAAAAAACAAUAGCAAAACGGAAAAACAACCCGAAUCGAGUCGAUUUUAACCUAUAUAAAUAGGGGUGUUGUAGUUGAAAAGAUAACUUUUGGCAAGAUAAUAAAAUGAAGAUUUUCUUUAAUUACCUACCCAUUAUUCACACAUUUGCCUUGUCUUUAUUUGGGUUUUCUAAUUUGAAUAAUCCGUUUGACGAUUGUCUUGAGGGAAAAAAAAUCAAUGGUAAUCUUUUCUGCAGGUUCUUUUGAUAUCUGUGAACGUACUCUCUUCGUCUCAAAAAUAAUCCAAUUUUAACAUUCAAAUAAGCUCAAAAAAACAUUGAGAUGUUGUAAAAAAAAUGUAAACUUUAGCUUACAAUUAAUUUAUUGGGUCAUCAACUCUUCGUAUGCUGUCAUAAAAAAGAGUGGUAUACAGUUGCAUGAUGACAACGAAGUUUAUGGAUACAAUAAUUUGUCUUGGUCAAUCCAACACACAGGGAGAGUAAAAAGAUUAGAGGCAACACACCAUUUUUAUAUUAAUCAAAAUAGCUAGUCUGCAACUUAUUACUUUUGUUGUACAUUACACGGUUCUACAGUAGAACAAACAAAUCCAAAAAUGACAAUUUAGCUUCAUAUAAAUGCACUUUGAAAUGUAGCAUCAGGCACGCGAGUGUGCUUAGACCUUGUAAUGGAAGAGAAAUAUUACAUAGACAAAAAAUAAUAAUUGUAAUUUUGUGAUUGCAGAUAAUGAUUCAGUCAAGAAAAGUAAACUGUCUACGAUCAUCAGAUUUAGCAAUAUAUGUUAGUAGACUGUUAAUCUUGUGCACGAGAUUAAGCAUUUGAAAAGGUUCAUACCAUGAGGAUAAGGUAAAAGAAAUCAAAGGGCACCGCAUUGGCAGCUGCCAGUAAGCCAAGGAUUAGGCUCAACACGAUCGUUCUGCGGCCUCCCAUCUCUGCUAUUUUGGCAACGGUUAAAGGCUGUUUGCUGCUGGCUGCCUGUUCAAGCGAUCCUGUAGGUGGUAUUUAUAGUGAGGAGGUCGAUUAUCAUGGGCGGAGCAGAUGAGCAACAUCCUCCAUACAAGUCGACCUCAAAUGAGUAACGGCCCGCCAAUAAUUUUUCUCUGUUUAAUCAUAUAUACUUUUGCUUGAAUAUUUGGUUAAUUUGUUCAAUAAGAUCGCAAAAACUGUUUGUCCUAACCUCUAGCAUAGUCCUAGGAUGAUAGAGGUUGUAAAGAAUCAUGUGUCCAUAUUUACGAUCAUAUAUGGUUUUGUAGUGAUUUAGAUGACAACACGAGCACUACAACUAGGUUAUGUGUUAGACAUGCUGUAAUAGGUUCUAGGGAUGCAAUAGAAGAAGUGGUGUAAAGACUGACAAAAAAAUAUAGUUAAAAUCACGAAGUGUGUAAAGUUUGCAAGUGUUGGAAGGUCCAACGACAAGGAAUUAAUAUCUAGCGGAUAAUUAAAUGCCAUCUAAUCCAGUGGUGUUCUACACUAUGCAAUUGAGAGCACCAUAUGACCCAACAAAAUUACGACAGCAAGGACAAACUACGGCCUAAUAGUGAAUAGUGCUAUAGACCUUAGGGUAAUAUUCUCUACACAAAGCACAAGACAAUGAAUAGUACACAUAGUUAGGUCUUUGCUAACCCAAUUCACCACUUCCCUUGGUUGCCACUCAAGUCCAUUAUUGGUAUGAAUACCCUCUCAUCAUUUUUAUAGAAGGUAUCAAAAGUAUAACUGUCAAACUUGGAGGGUUGCGUGGCUGGGUUCUAUUAUAAAAAAACCUAGAGGGUUGGGUAUAACACCCCCUUUCGUUAGCCUUGCUAUUGUUCUAAACUUAAAACUACUCCUUGCAUCCCAAGUUCAUCUAACCCACUCAAGAAUUGGCUAAGGAUAUGAGAAGAUAUUGAAAUAUCGAGUGCUUUUGAGCUUCGUUCCCACAUUUUUCUUCAUCAAGCCAAGUUUUCAACAUGUUUGUUACUCUUGGAUAUCUCUCUAAGGUUUGCGCGUGAGAACCCAAGCUUAUGGAGUGCCAUCAGACUUUUGUAGUUGAAUCUUGAGAUGUGGUAGGUGGACCGAUCUGUGCGGAUCCAAGAUUCCCGUUGCCGCAAGUGUAACAAGAAGGAGGGGGGAGAUGAGGCGCAUCGGGUUUCGGCUUGGUUUUCUUUGACCUCAUUUGAAAUAGUAUCUUUUUUGAAGGCAAAAACUGUGGGGGAAAUCCCCACAACACUUCAUUUUAAAAAUUUUGUAAAAAAGAGCACAAACAUACAACAAGAAUUUAACUAAAUGCAUCUAGCCAAAAACAAAAGGCUGAUCUAAGAUCAUCCUUGAACCGAAGGGAUUGAAAGAGGCACUGGUUUUUGAAAUUUCUGAACCAAAUGUCAAUGUGGACUGGUCCAUUAUUGAACACUUUAUCAUUUCUUAGCUUCCAUAUCUCCCAGGAGGCAAUGACCACUACUUCCAUAAAGAACGGGAUGUUUUGCUGUUGUCUCGCGUGUGCCAGCCUGGGGGUACAAACUGAGGCGCGUGUUCCACUGCAUACCAAUCUUAUCCCAACAACUCUUAUAGAAAGGACAGUCAAAGAAUAGGUGCAUGUUAUCUAGAGGACUAAAGAUCGUUUUCUUAGGGUAGUAAUCGAUGGAUAGAACAAUUGAGCAACUCAUCAUGUAAGUCAAUAUGUUUCCUUGUAACUGAUUAGGAACCUGAGUGUAAACUGAAUAGGAUCUGUAACCCUACUUUUCAUACUAUAAUAUAUAAGGUAGGGAGCCCUCAAUUGAUAUCAAGACAAUCUAGGCUUUCAUAGCUAGACAAGCACAUCAACACCCGUGUAAUUCUUAAGCAUACAAGAUAAGAGAUUGAUUCUUCCAUUUUAAGUUAUAAUUAUAAGUCAUUCUCGAUUUUCUAGGAACAUAAAUGUUAUAUAUUUGAAUAUAGUCAUUAAAAAAUAAUUAAAAAAGAUGGAACGACUUACUAUUUAGAAGGGAUAAGAGGAGUACAAUACAAUGCUCUAUCGGUCAACUCAUCGGAUUGUAUUGUAUCAAACCUAUGCAGCCUUGUGAAAAAUAUAUUUAUUAUGAAAAAUAUAUUUUAUAAUAUAUUUAAUGACCAGCAUAAAUUUUUGUAUUUUUUAUAAGUUUAGUCGGACAAAAAAAUGACAUAAGGUCUCUAGGAUUUAUUUAUUUAUUAUUUUUUUAGAGAAAAAUUUAUUUAUUUAUUAGAUAGACAAUGGACCCGAUCUCGCGGCCAGAGGGCCGGCCCACUGAUCGACGCAGACGACAGGGAUAAGGUGUUACAAUCAGACGGGCCCAACCCGUCGCAUGCAUUGUGCGUCGUCGACUCGUCGUAUAUAUAUAUACGGGACGAGGAUAUUCGGCAACGUGCUACAAUGCACGUGAUAUAAUACGCGCGUCUCGAUCUGGUCGGCACGUAACGCCAGCGUACGUCUCCAUGCGUGUAUACGUACACAAGUGGCCGAACGAAAAGAGCGCGGACAAACCGGACAUCAUCGUCUCACUGUGUGGUUCCUACUAGCUAGCCUAUAUAUCUAGCACGUGUAGCUAUACCACACCACCGUAUCCGUAUGAGACGAGGCAUUUCGUCAUUCGAGUCUCCUCGUCGAUAAUUAACGUGCGUGUCGUCGUUGUCGUCCUGAUCUGCUCUCCAAUUGUGCGGAGGGAGGAGCGCGCAGCGAGCUCUGCUGCAUGCAAGUGCACACGAGACACGAGCCUUUUUUUUUUUUUUCUUUUUUGACUACACGAGACGAGACACGAGCUAGCAGGGGGCCGGGCCGCGCCGGAGAGGACAUCAGGGUCAGGCACGCGAUCGAUCGAGACAAGAGGACACGAGAGGACCAGCUGGUUAUAGCACAAGCAGCUAGCUAGCUAGGGCGUGAAACGAUAAUGAAAGGUGCGUCCGUGGACGCGCACGAUCGACUCGUCGCAGCUAGCAUGCAUAUGCGUCGACGACGACGCGGCGGCGCCCGGCCCACCCGCAUGCAUCUGACAAAUUAUACUCGACGCUGUGCAACAGCAACCCUGUCAGUAGCGGAAGGGGGAGGACAAUAAUAAUUCAGUCUGCGUACGUACGUGGGCGUGGGCGUGGGCACGGCUGGGCACGCCCAACGAUCGAUCGUCCUGCGACCGGCCGGCCAGCCACGCACGUCGAUCGGAUCGAUCGGCCGGAGUCGGUCUCUAGCUAGGAUAUCGCCGCCGAACAAGGUGACAAGCCAUGCCACGACGCAUAGUACGGUUUCUCGAUCAGUACACGCUGUUUGGACUGUUUACAUAAUUCUAGCAAUAUAUGCUCGCGUCUUAUAUAUUGAAGAAAGAAUCAAAAUUUCUUUCUUUCAUUCAUUUUUCACUCUUGGCCGUCCAUCACCUCACUUCUAUCCUUUUUCCAUGUUCGUUCAUCCCUCAUCCCUGCCUUUGGUCAUCGUCUCUCACUCUUAGGCCUUGUUUAGUUCUCAAAAAAUUUUGCAAAAUUUUUCAGAUUCUCCGUCACAUCGAAUCUUUAGACGCAUACAUGGAGUAUUAAAUAUAGACGAAAAUAAAAACUAAUUGCAUAACUUGGUCGGAAUUGACGAGACGAAUCUUUUAAGCCUAGUUAGUCCAUGAUUGGACAAUAUUUGUCAAAUACAAACGAAAGUGCUAUAGUGCCUGUUUUGCAAAAUUUUUUGGAACUAAACAAGGCCUUACUCGUCAUGCUUUGAGUUUGCAAUUGCAAAGCAUUUGUUGCCAUGCUACUCAUGCAAUAGCCAAGUCAUUUGAGCCCGUUCGCGCCAUGACAGUGAAAAGGCUUUCAAUUAUGGAACCUCCAUAUUACUUCAACCAUAAAACUAUAAGACAGUUUUUGUAACACCAAAGCAUUUUAAUCCACAUAGAACUAGCCGGUGCGCGUACACUUCUUGUGCCCUUUCCAAACAUAAUUCUAAGUUGAUUCAUCACUACUUUAAACAUCUGUUUCACAUUGUGAAGCUCAUCGAUCGUCUCAUUGCCAUCAAAGGAUUUCUUGUUUCAGCGGGACUCACAUAACUCAUCUUCUUGCACUAUAUAUGACACACAAUAUUUUCCAAAACCAUCUCAAAUGAAAAACUCUUGUUGAGCACUUGUGUCUCCAUAUGAGGCCACCUGAAAAAUUCUAAAUUUGAAUUAUAAGAUCUAAGAACUUAAAACUUAUAUUUGGAUUCUUAAAUGAUUUCAAAUAUAAAAAUCAUCAAUGACAUAGUUUUAGGUCAUGUCAACUACAUAGUUUUAGAUUUGCAAUUUUAAAGUUUGUCUUCAUUCAACCUCAUAUGAAAAAAAUAAAAGAAUAAAAGAGAGCAAAGAGACAACCAAUUUUUUCGUGCGGUAUCGGGUAGUUGCCACUACCCCCUAAUUCGCAUUGGAGCACCAAUGAGUCGCAAAGACUCGAUUACGCUCCCUUAAGUCAUGAAGUUUAAGUCUUCACUAGUCAAUACCCAUUCUACUCUCCGGAUUGCCAGGUUUCAAACUGAGCAAACCAAUAGGAGCCUUCCCACAAGGUCACUUAGUCCUUCAUUGGGACAUCUAGGUGUUCACCAAGAGUAACAAACCUUUAGUAGCACCUUAAUGAAAACCAAGCCAAGAACACUAAGUACACUCUCGCAGCUUGCAAUAUUGACUUGGAUGGCUCCCAAAUCCUUCAUAAACUCCCUCUAUACGUGUGCCGCACCUGGGGGCUAGGGUGAAAGAGCAUCACAAAAAUAAUUUAGAGAAUGCACACAUAUAAGGUGUGAAGGCCCAGUUGGAUGAUCCAUUGUGCUCUAUCCAGGUGCACUAGAUCAUAUGGUGAUCCUAUAUGGGUAAGUUUCCUAACAGUCACGAGGAAUAUGCCAAAAUAUGCCUCAUCAAAUGACCCACUGUGGGUUAGAUCGACACCAUUGGAUCAUACAAUUUGGCUACUUGACACAUAACCGAUGUUCACCAUCAUCGGAUUAACCUUGACCUUUUGUGAGAGGCGGAUCACUUGCCCACCUCGGUUAAAAUUACAGUAGUAGGAUCCACGGGCGCACCAGAUCAUAUGGUGAAACAUAGUACCUUGUCAUAAAUCUACUUCUACUCAGGUACUAUACCCCCUUAUUCCUUAUCAUCGAUUGUUUUGGCUGGCCAGCAAUUAGGAUUGCCCUAUUAAUUAAAUUACCCAUGGAAAAUUUAGAUUAACUUACUUACUAGUGUAACUAUAUAUUAUAUCAUGUAGGUACCAUACUAAGAGUCUAAUAUUUGUGUAGGUUUUCUCUCUUUUUUUAACUAGCAAACAUAUAUUUGUGUUGCAACAAGAUCUUCAACUUGUUGCGUGGCUGCUGAGACAACUUGUGGCUUCGAGAUAGCCAUAUGUUUCCAUUCAUCUAGGAAUUGAACUCCGACUUCGUACUAUGUUUGCACGUGUUGCUCUAACUGGUAUGAGUACGAGAGGUUAGAGAUUUAUUGAGAUCCAUCAUGUCACGUGUUUUAUUUCGUCUUGGGAUCAAACUCACACCACGCCCGAACACUUGACUUGUGUAUGGACAUGUGAGAGAGUGGUGGACCAUGGAAACAAUUUGUAUUUCAAUUCUUUUGGAAUUGGACUAAUACACUUCUCUUACUCGUAUUACACUACUCUUACAUGUAUAGGCACAGGAGAGCGACAUUGAUUCCAUGGAUCCCCAACGAAUGAUUAUGAACAAAGAAACAUUUCGCUCUUUAAUAUUAGGAAAUAGAAAUAGAAUAGACGAUUGGAAAGGCCACCGGGUAGCUCUCAAGGUUUAUUUCCUUAAUAUACAGGUGGAAAAAAGGUCGAAUAAACAAAGCCGCCACACUUAUUCGCUGGGCAUCACCGUGCAUUGCCCAGAUCGAGCGAGUGAGGAUCAAGGCAGAAAACAUUAUUAUUCCAUACGCACGUCACUGAACGCACGCAAAAACUGACGAAAUUAAAGACGAGCUAGGUAGAUCAUGGAUGAUGGAUCGUCGGCGGGCGGUGGCUCGAUCCGGCAACGACGAAACGCAAACUCACGAAAAUGCAGAGGGAUCGACGAUCGCAUCAGAGAUCAGUUGUCCAUGGCGAGGCCAGGCAGCACGAAAGGGUCGGCUGAAUCGUAGAAGUCGGCGGACUCGUCGCUGAGCUGCUGCUUGAGCAUCCACUUCUUGUAGGGGUGGAAGAGGACGGAAUUGGAGCAGGUGUACUUGGCCGGCGCGGGGCAGUCGAUGAACGUCCCGUUGCCGUUCGCGCAGAAGUAGAGCUGGUACAGCAUGUACUUGUCGAAGGGCCCCUUGCUGCACUGGAUCACCGGCUCCGCGUUGAUCCCGCUCUUGAACACCUUCUUGAUCGCCUUCAACCCGUAGAGCUCGAAGUCAUCCUCGAUACCUGCAGCAAAAGAUCCAUGCAUAUAUAUGGGCCAGCAUCAGCUCUCGUAACAUAGAUACAGCAAGCUACUCAGCUCUGAAUCCGUUCACUUUAUAAGCCGCAAAUAAAUCAGCGAACAAUGCUUUUAGCCAUGACUUUAUUUAAACAAGCGAACAUGCUCAGUUUACCAUUUUGUUUUAGGCGAACGAGGGGGUUGAUCUUGCUACGGAAGGAGAGGGCCUUCUCGAAGUAGGCUUUCUCGUCGAGGCCGGAGCAGGCGCCGGCCUUCUUCCAGGCGUUCUUCCAGCUUCUCUGGCCGUUGUUGGCGGGGCACUUGAUGUUGAUCCAGUACUGCUCCAGGCCGAUGCCGGUAAUCUGUCGAGAUGGACAUUGCACACAGACACACACACACAUUAAAGGUACUACGGUGUCACACCUACGACGACAACACUAGAUGUGCAUAUAUAUGGCGAUCGAGCUGGAGCGAGAGUCUACGGACGUACCAGGUUAGGGUUGUAAGGAGCUUGAUUGCUGCAUUCCGUCAGUGCAGCGUUGGUGGUCGCGUUGUAGACGGUGAGGCCCGUUAUGUAGAAGUCGCGCGCCGGCGAGACGCCGGUCGUCGGCUUGCAGCAUCCAGCGUUGGUCUGCUCGCAGUAUGCUCCUGGCCACUGCGUGCGUGCGUACGUCCAUGAUCGAGCACACCAUCCAUGCGCAAAAUAGAGUUGAUCAGGGAAUUACGUUCAGCCAUUUUAUUAACGAAAACUAAAACAAAAUAAAAAAAAAAUAAAACAAGUUCCUGCAAGAUUGUACAGUGUGUCGUUCUCUCCUCGUACAUACGUCCAUGCCUAUAUAUAUGUGUGAUGACAAGGCCAGUGCGAUAAUUUGCCUCUCACCAAUCAAAUUAUCGUCCAAAACUCAGGAAAAACGGGCCAGUGGUCCAUGAGAAAUCUGCUUAUGGGUUCCACAUGUAUCGUCGUCUCCGGAGUUGUUCAUUUCACUUGUUAUUGUAUAUAGACUCAUGCAUAUUACAUAUUACAUUUUGAUCUGCAGAUUAAUUAAUAAUGAGAACGACAUCCGUGCACAUAUCCAUAAUCCAUGCAGGGUUUAGCCUUCUAUAAUAGUUAGCAGGACACACAAAUUUUAGGAUCAUAUAUAGGUUCUUGCCUGUUUUUUUCAUGCCAUUAUAACUGAAUUAACCUGAUAUAUAGUAAGACCUAUAUAUCUCAAUUAAUGAUACUAACAGUAGCUAGUACAAAAUACACAUAGUGACUGAAGGAAAUAGCUAAGCUCCCCGUGCGUACCAGAAGAGCAAGCUGGUAGUAGAUACCGGAGGAGUCAUCAGCAAUUGCGGGAGAAGCUACUAGCAGCAAGCCAAGGAGGCACAGGAGUGGGAUCCUGGAGGAAGCCAUAUGGAAAUGGAAUGCACCCCGGCCCUCGCUAGCUCUCACGAGACGAGCGCGACUCGCGAUCUACCACGAAUGGCACCGAUGAGCAUGGCCUCCAUCGCGUGGCUACUUAUAGGCAGACGAGAGCGCGUCCGCACCACAUUUUAUCUCUAUUCUACACCUAAAAAAUAAUACAAAAGAGGCCGGCCGCGCCGGUAUCGUCGGCUCACCCUGCUCAGCUCGUCCCUGGAUUUUUUUUACUCAACUCCACGAAAUCAGAAUCAGAUAUCAAAUCAAAUCGUUCUAAAUCUGAAUAAAAAAAAAGAAAAUAUCGAACUCAAUCAAAUAAAAACUGAAAAUGUAAUACAAGUCUGGUGCUGCAGCUAAACUUGAACUCGACCUUGCAUCGCAUGCGCGAGGGCUCGUGGACCACCAGACUUGGCUUACCUUAUAAAUAAAUUAUAUUAGGCUUGCUCUAAAACCUGCUCUCGCACAUGAUCCGAUCCGGUCGCAAACCCGAGACCUGUGGGGCAAAAAAACACUCUGUAGGCCUUGUUUGGAUGUAGUCGGAUUCGUAUCAAUCCACAUGUGUUGGGGUGGAUUGGAGUGGAACUUCAGCUAAAUUCCACCCAAAUCCACACCAACACACGUGGAUUGAGGUAAAUCCGACAACAUCCAAACAAGACCGUAUGAUUGAGAGAACCCAUGCAGUACUUAGCAGUCAAUUGUGCCUUGUCGUUAUCAAUGUGAAGCAGACCUAUUUUGUGUAUGGUUGGAGGAAUGUGGAGACAGCUUUAUAUUUUCUAUAUAACUAGAUUUAUAGAUUUCUUCAUAUGUUUAUCAAGCAUAAGGUGUGUUCAUGUAGUUGUACGUAAAAAUUCGUUAUCUCCGCGCUUCACUAAUAUUUGUGGGCUCUACGUGUUGUGCUCCUCUCUCAUCCAUUGCAAUAAUAUAAGUGCAAGCAUGUGGUACAGUACAAUGGUUGAUGAAAAUAAUCAUCCAUUGCAAACAUUUAGUUUUGGAGAGAACCCCACAGCAAAUUUAACGUGGGUAUACAGUAUUCCGGCAUCUACAUGAGUUAUAUAUUGAUCACUCAACCAAUUAAUCCUAGCUUAUUAUUAUGCCUUCACCAGUGGCCUUCUCAGAACUCAGAUCGAUCUUGUGAUGCAUGAGUUGUCAGCUGAGGAAACGAUGCCUUACAUCGCAGGGCAAUCGAACCAUGCAUGCAUGCUCUUUAGUCUUUAGGCACGAACCCAAUCCAAUUAAACUAGGAUAAGGUGCAUAUAUACUCAUUAAACAACCAGUGUACAAGGAAAUGUUAUUUACCAGAGGGCUGCACGAAUUCUUUUAUCAAGAGAGAGGAUAAUUUUUAUCUGGCCUAGGCCCUGCACAAGCGUUUGAUAUAUAUGUUGAAAAAAAAGGGAGAGGCAAUAACCAAAUCCAUCCUAUUCGGUAGACUUUUUGCCAUACAUCAAAGUAUCGAACCCACACCUCUGGAGAAGGUCUUACACCUCUAGUCAACAGGUGACGAAUAAAAGCUCUUAGAAAGCUCUCAAAACACAAACCAAGCAAGCCACCAAUUAUACUAAAGCAUUCUUUUUGAAACACUAUUGUGCAUUUUGAGUGAUGGGAGGCUAUUCUUGCAUAUGUAUUGUGUCUUUUAAUUUACAUGAGAUAUCACUACUACAAAAUUGUAUUUCUCAUCGAAAUUUACAACUUUGGCAUUGGUCGUUUCAUCAUCCGAGAUUGUUUAACAUUUGAAUUUCAAAACGCGUUAUACUUUUAGGACCUUAAAUAAUUUUAAAUAAGAAAAAUUAUCAACUACAAAGUUAUUAUCAUCGAGUAUACAAUUUUGGUUUUGGUCAAUUUUCCGUUUGAGGACGUUUGAAUUUUUUCUGAAAAUUUCAUAAUGUUAAAACUCCAAAUAUAAAUUUGGGACCACAAUAAUUUCUAAUAAAAAAGUGGGUUAACUACAAAGCUGUAAAUCUCAUCACUUUUUCAUCUGAGGCCGUUUGGACAAUUCGAAAAAUCUGAAUUUUGAUAAAUGUGAACUUCAGACAAUAUUUUGGGACUAUAAAUGGUUUAAAAUUGAAAAUUCAACAAGUAGAAGUUGUAGACCUUAUCGAAACUUACAACUCUAAUAUGAAGUUCGUUUCCAUCCAACUCAAUCUGAGAAAAAUAUUAGUUUUAUUAUACUGCAACAUAUAGUCAUCACCGCUAACACAUAAGCCAAACGGCAAAAAUGAUUUCAUCAUCAGAAAGUAACCCAGAUCAACAAUGAUGAUGGACUAUCUCCAGCGGUUUGUAACACGAACCGCUAAUGAUAAUUGUCUCCAUUUUCACUAACUGUUCGUAAUACGAACCAAUGGCUAACGGUUCAUAACAACACGAACCGGCAGCCAAAACGGCUUAGAGCAAACCGACGAUAAAAUUAGCGGUGGUGACGAUAAAUUAUGCAGUGGUGGAUGAUCGACCUUAAUUUUGAUCUCCUAGAAACAAUUUCAGUCAGUGCCGAGCUGCUCGGAUUAUUGCUACUGCGUCUAAAGAUACUUCCACAGAAGCCGCCAUUCGUUUGAGCACGUUAUUCAUUGCUGUGUACAUGCAGCAAGCAGCUAGGGCAUGAGUGCGACGCCUACCUUGUGAGCCACUCGUCUCGCGUUCGAUUGGAUAGCCAUAGCCUUGCACCGUGCACGUCUACCGCAGGCACACGACCGCACUGAGUAUGACCACACCAGCACCCCACCACCCCCCUGUAGUAUAUAUAGCCACGUGUUUAGUUCACGAAAAAAAAUUGCUAUGGUAUAUAUAGCCAUGUUUAGUUUGUCAAAUAAAAUUUUUUAUAUAUCACAUUGGAUAUAUCCAAAAAUAUUUAGAAGGGAUUUUUUAUACUAAUAAAAAAAGAAUUAAUUAGAUUUAGAAGAUUCGUCUUAUAAUUUAUAAUUAAAAAAUAUAAUUAGUUUUUUUUGUCUGUCUUUAAUGUUUCAUAUAUGUGUCAAAGAUUUUAUAAGACGGGCGUAAAGUUUUUAGUUAAAAAACUAAACUGAGUCCGACGAAAAGGACGUAGGAGUACGUAUUUUGCAGUACGACGCGACGUGAGGCGUGGCACCUACCGACCGGGCCACCCAAUAGACGUGGGCGAAACGACAUGUAGCCCAACAGCCUCGAUGGAUCGUUCUGCCAGGCCCACGUGCACGUCCACGUUGUGAAUGAUGAAGGAAUCCUCCCACAAUCGUCACUCGUGAGUCGGGACUCGUCAGCUUGGACCGUGAGGCUCACGUUACUGCAGCCCUGUUAUCUCCUAGCGGAAAGGAGAAUGAGGCAGAAAAAUGAAAAAUAAAAUUCAAAUGCUUUGAUUUCUCACUAUAUAAAGUUAAUAUUUUUUCUCGAAUAAUAUAAAGUCAAUAAUCUAAUUGAGAAUAAGAUUCAAACAUUCUUCAUGUUUUUUAUCUAUAUAGUCCAUAUUCUAAAUUACUAUCUAAAAUCAUUAUUAGAAUUUGAUCCAAACAAUGUCUAAGUUUGGGCCGCUCACCCUUUUGUUCAUGUGCAACUCCGUGGCUUUGUUAAGCAUGCCGGGGAGGGCCAGAGGGGGACACACUUUCUACCUUGCGAGCAUUCAGUUUCACUUUCACACCACGUACAAUGCAAAAGGCGCUUAGAUAGAAAGAGAAAAAUACUUUUGUAACUAAGCGUUUCUUUAUAACCUUAAUCUACAACGCAACACGUAUUUGAAGGCGCUUAAGUUCCGACUGUUACGUUGCAUGCAAACACCAGUAUCGGAGCCGGUCCAGGCGUUGAUGCUUCACGGAGUGGUGAAUCUAUUUUUAAGCGCCCGCUCAGGACUCCACCGUGGCAAAAAAAGCUAUUUAACGGCCAAUACCUGAUCAUAAGCGCCCAGCGUUGUACAAGCCCUAACUCGAAUAUCUUACCUCAUACCUCCACAACUUUGAAAUCAUUUAAAUUAGGUAUCUAGGUUUGAAAUAGUUGUAAUGUGGUUUCAUAAUUUUGAAGUUAAAAAUCCGAUAAAGUCCUGAUACGAUUUUUAAACCUAAAAAAACACAAGGCUUCUAAGAAAAUUGUAAAGAUAAAUCGAAACACAAGACACUGAUACAAAAUAUGUAGAGCUUAUGAAUAUAUAUAUAUAUAUAUAUAUAUAUAUAUAUAUAUAUGACACAUUUCUUCUACUCGUGCGUGUAUGUACUCGUACCUGCGAGUACAUGCACGGGAGAGUCGUCCAACCAGUUCUGAAACAAGAAACGUCGGAUAGGAAACGGAGAGGGUGCGGCCCGCCGUUAAGCUCUCGUAACGGGUUUGGGUAGAACCCAAUUGUUUUUGUCGUUUGCAAGCACAAAGUAUUCCACAUGCACGCGUAUAUAUGGGUACUUGUUGGUAUACACGUGAAUAUUAUUUAUUAAUUAUCUGAGAUGCAUCUGGUCGGAUAACUAUAUAUUAAUUAGCGGAGACCAUAUAUAUAGACAUAUUUGGACAUGUAUAUAUAUAUAUAUGUUAGUACAUGUACAUACUUCUAAGAUGGUUGAGUAUAUAUACAUAUACUUUUCUUCGUAUAAGAGAGUAUGCGUAUAUACCAUUUUACUAUUUUGACAAAUACAUACUACUUUUUGGUACGCACGUACGGUGUGCAAGACUGCAUACUUUUUUUAAUUUAUUUAUGAUUAUAUAUAUGGUGUGUUGUUUAUUGGUAGUACGUAUGAAUAUAUACUGCUUUGAAAGUAUGAGUGGAUACAUUCUUUUUUUUAAAAAAAUGAGUAUAUCUGCAUACUGCUUUUGAAUGUAAGAAUAGAUACUUUUUAUGAUAAAAAUGAGUAUAUUUGCAUACAUGUGCUAUAAGAAAAGUAUAUGCUAGUACUAUGUGUUUUUACUUUUGUUGAUAAAUGAGUAUAUGUAUAUACCUUUUCGACAUACAUUAUUGAUGAAAUGUGUACGUGGUAAUAUUGAGUACAAACAUGCAAGGAAUGUAACUGUAUGCUACUAUUGAGUAUCUAACAAAAGGAAAAUAUAAUAUUUUACUAGAACUCGAUCUAAUCUAAAAGUAUCGAGUGACACUGCUACAAAUAAUUAUGUGGAGUAAAUCAUGCUCUGUCAUCCUGUCCGGCAUUCUCUCGAAGCAUCAAACACCUUGAAAUAUUUAUCUGUCUGAGAAGUAAUGUUACAUUUACGAAUAAGAUUUAUCUGUCUGAAAGUAAUGUUACAUUCACGAAUCUAGGUAUCAGGUGAUACUCUAAUCUAAAAACAGUAUAUUUGCCAAGUGAUCUUCUCCAGGUAGAACUAUAGCCUAGAACGGAAUAGAUAAAAUCAUAUCCAUGAGUUCUGACGCAAGGGAAAAAACAAUAUUACAAACCGGUAAUAUGCAUAUUUGUCGACGACAAGUAUGAGAAGCAAAGCCCGCCGCCACCAGAACUUUAGAAGGGACAUAAACGCCUCAAUGCGAUAACAGCUAGAUUAAUGGAAUCAACUGUGCCGGAUCUACAAGCUGCAAAGGGAUUUGAUUGGAAUAAACAAAUCGAUAAUAACAGGAUAGAUUAGGACUCUCAACCAAACCUGGAUCUGUGUUCUUCACGAUUUUCCUGGUCGCCGCCGCUAGGGGAUGUCAUAGUCGGCUUGUUGUUGGGUGGGCCUCUCGACCAUGGGGGGCCAUCACCAUUGGGCGGGCUACGCCGGCGUCGUCCGUGCUGGUUGAGAGGAUGGAGGAGGGAGACGGCUCCAGGAGCGACCUUGGCGGUGGCGAAGCAAGAAAGCAUGAGGACGGCGGUGACAAAAUCCGCUAAUUUCGGAUCUCCCGAUGGCUGAGCGGCGACGGGGCUGGAUGAUGACCGUAUAUACAUAUGUUCCUAAUGGGUAACGACGGUGUGAUCCAAUAAGCAUGGAUGUCAUCGACCCGUUAGCUCCAGACGGCGUGCAUCGCGUCGUGGACUAACAAGCCGGAGUAGAUAUACGUGUAGAAGGGAAAUUCCCUAUAUAUAUAUAUAUAUAUAUAUAUAUAUAUAUAUAUAUAUAUAUAUAUAUAUAUAUAUAUAUAUAUAUAUAUAUAUAUAUAUAUAUAUAUAUAUAUGGAGAAUCUUUCACGAAAUUAUAUUAUCAUUGGCACUUACACUACACCCCUAUGAAGUGAUGGUAUCCGUGACACUUUGUGACACACCCAUGUGGGCCAGGGAUGGACCAAACUCAAUUCUUGGGAUACAGUUGAUUACUCGUUAGGUUUUGUAGAAAUUAAGUAUAUAUAGUGUAUGUUUCGUACCAUUAUCUAAAAACAUUCUAUAAUUUGUAUAUUCGUGGGGGAAAAAAGUUUGCUAGCCUAGUAGAUUUCUUUCCUCCAUCGCCUUAGCCCAUCAAUCCAUCAUUUUUAAAAGGCCCCCAUCUGCAUACUGCAAAGCAACAUUUUUGGCUGAGUUGGUCAAAUCCUUAGAGCAUCUCCAACAGUUUUAUAAACUACUCCUACUUGCUAUAAUUUAGCAAGUUGCUAUUUUCGGCCUCCGCACGCGCAUUUAUCCGUGCGUGUAUCCCUCGCGCAUCCGCCGCACAGGGGCUGUGCAGCUGCUGCUGCCGCUGUUGUUCUGCUGCUCUGGCUGCUGCUGUUAUGCUGCUCUGCCGCUCCUGUGUUGCCAUGAUGCCAUGACCUGCAUGCGUUGAUGCAGUGCUUCGUGUGCUCGGUCUAUUGAUGUGACUCUUGACGGUGCUUCCCAUCAUGCUGGUUGCAGCACCUGUGCUUCCCAUCAUGGGUCAUGUAUCCACCAUGCAUCAUGCAUAUAUGCUUCAUCAUGCAUCAUGACCCAUCAUGAUGUGAGCAGGAGCAAUAUUUCAUCAUGCAUCAUGUACCGUACUCUGAUUCAUAAAAUAUAAAUCCAAUGGACAGACCCAUAUACAGAUGGAUCCAGUAGAAUAUGAGCCUACUUUUUAAAUUUUACCAAGUUAAAAUAGCAAACUAUUGGAGAUACUCUACUUUUUCACUUGGUAUAUGUUUUAGCAAGUUGCCAAAUCACAAGAUUUACCAAGUGGAUUUUAGCAAACUAUUGGAGACGCUCUAAGAGACUCAAGCAAAUUGUUGAAAUGGUCAUGGUCGUGAUUGUUCAUCAAUUAACUUUCAUAAUAAAACAAUAUAGUGAGCAUCAAUUACAAGAAAGCCAUAUAUGUCAUUGUGUCUAGAUUGGUUUGCAUUUUUUAAUUCUAAAACAUGAAGGGGUUUCACUUUGAAAUUCUAAAUAUCCAUUUUCGAAAUAUUGGACCCACUCCUAAUAUUGAGUAGUAUGAUAGAUGAUGACAUGGCAAACCAAAUCUCGUGACACCAAUGAUCGUGAUGACGCCAUACUAUGAAGGUAGCCACUGUGGGCAUGCAAAGGCACAUGCAUCCACAACGAGAUAUUAUAUGCGCUAAGGAUUAAGCAGUGGAUGCGUCAUGCAACUAAUGAAGCAUCUUAAGGUACAGUCUCAUAGACAGUUAGAUAUUGCUCGAAGGGCAUCCAUCUAAUGUGACAUGAGAAGUUUGUCAAGGCUUGGAUCUUGGCUUUGUAGGGGAAAUAUCAAACUAGUGAAGCGAGAAAACCAAAUAAAAGAUAUCCAUCUUGUUUUGAAAAAUAUCAAUGGAAACGUAGGAAACUAUGGUGAACUAGAAUUCUAGAUGGACAAAUAUUUGUAUCUCCACUUUGUUUUGCUCUCUCAUUAGUUCUUACUUUUGAUCCAUGUUUCCCACUCGAUCUAAUUGGUUAUAUGUAUUUCUAAGUGUAUAUGAUUUUCAACUAUUAAUUGACUCAUCAAGCUCAUCUCCAUGUUCGGUUGAGCUAGCUAAGUUUAUUCUAUUUUCUGAAACUAGUCACGACACCAUGCUUAGGGAUAGAAAGCAAUCCAAUCUUUGAUUUCCUAGCUAGGUGGGAUGGAAUUUUUUUUGUUCCAUGGGGAAGAAAACAGGGAAUGAUUCAUUCCAUAUGUGGCGAGGGGGGACGGGGGAUGGUUCUCAGUCCCUCUUCCCCAUGUCUCUAUUUACAGUCCAUUUGCUCUGGGUCCAUAUAGCCUACCAAAAUAUCCUUUGCCCUACCCUAAAGGCCCCAACGGUCCAACACCAUCCCACGCCUAAGGAUGAAAGUGGGGCGGCGUUGAGCAACCCACCCCACGUCCACAUCAAUUGCAACUGUUAUGCGGGUUGCAGCCGAAGCCCACGUCUUGCCGCUCUCUGUCCGUGGGUUAGAGUGAUAGCCAGUAAAGUGCCACAACGCAAGAACUCCUUGUCCUCCACCGUUGACUCAAAGGUCUACUCCAAUCCCACAGACAUCUUCCUGCGCCUGUGGAGCUCGGACAUCGGGGCUUCUUUUGCCACAAGAUGACCAUGGCGCCAGUGUGUCCGUGCUUUCGGUGCCUGUCGUCAAGAAGAGGAACAUGAUGAUCAAGGAAGAGCCACAGGAGUUGCUCAUUUGUCUUAGGUAUGACUCCUCAGCACCAUCCAACGAGAGACGGAGGUGGCCGAGGCGUGGGAGGAGUACCAGAUGUUCUUUUGAGUUCGCCGGUGAAGAGCUGGGACAUAUCGAUGGCCGGCACGACGGCUUAUCGCUCUUCCCGCCGCUUGAUGUGCUUGCUUGACGCAUCCAUGGACAUGGCGUUCAAAGUGAAGACGUACCAAGCACCACCGAUAUCGUCGAGUUUGCCCUCUGCGGUUAUGCUGCCUACCUCAACUUCACUGCCUCCUCCUUGCAGUCGCAGAAGCACACCGCCCCCAUCCACAUCGGCUGCCCAAGCCACACCCGCACCCUCCGCGAUGCCGUCGUACCAGGCAGACAACGUCACAGCAACAAUGUAUGUGGGUUGCGGGUUUGCCGCUGGGAAUAUGUGGGUUCGGCAGUUCAACCCACUCUAAAUGGUCUGUCAUGGCAGUCCAGCAUGUUAGCAGCGGAGCAGCCCAGUGGGUUGGCGCCAUGGCCUGCCCCAACUUGCAUCCAUACCCAUGCCACUACUGGGCUUGCUCCUCUCUUCUCUACCCCUAAUCAAGUCGCUCCAAAAAAAAAAAAGGUGAGUUGCGCCCACCGAUAUUUUGCCCUGGCUUAAAGCACGGCCUUUCACAGCCACUUACCAGCCCAGCCCAGCCCACCAAACCGCAGGCAAGACGGACACAAACCCGAAAGAAACACGAAGACCAAGUAGAAACAGACCCUUUUCCUUCCCCUAAGCCCGCUGAACAAGAAAAGGCCCAGAUACACACAGCAAACCAGCAAAGGCACGACCACCACCGCCGGCCGGGGGAAGCAAGCUCAAACCCUAACCGCCGGCGACGCCAGCACGAUGGCCCGCUACGACCGCGCGAUCACCGUCUUCUCCCCCGACGGCCACCUCUUCCAGGUCGAGUACGCCCUCGAGGCCGUCCGCAAGGGAAACGCCGCCGUCGGCGUCCGCGGCACGGACACCGUCGUCCUCGGCGUCGAGAAGAAGUCCACCCCCAAGCUCCAGGACUCCAGGUAGCAAACCCUCCCUUCGAUCCUCGUACCAGAUCUCGCGAUCCCCGCCUCAAACUCAUAUCUCUGGCCCGAAUUUCUGUCUCCCCAGGUCCGUGCGCAAGAUCGCGUGCCUCGACACCCACAUCGCGCUGGCGUGCGCGGGGCUGAAGGCGGACGCGCGCGUUCUCAUCAACCGCGCGCGGGUCGAGUGCCAGAGCCACCGACUCACCGUCGAGGACCCCGUCACCGUUGAGUACAUCACCCGCUACAUCGCUGGGCUGCAGCAGAAGUAUACACAGAGUGGUGGAGUCCGCCCCUUCGGCCUCUCCACUCUCAUUGUCGGCUUCGACCCCUACACCGACAAGCCGGCGCUGUACCAGACCGACCCAUCCGGUACCUUCUCUGCUUGGAAGGCCAACGCCACGGGAAGGAACUCCAACUCUAUGCGUGAGUUUCUGGAGAAGAACUACAAGGAGACCUCCGGCAAGGAGACCAUCAAGCUUGCUAUCCGUGCACUUUUAGAGGUAUAUCUUAAAUAAAUUGAGUUUUAAAUUUAAAUUUCCUGCAAUUUACACAACAUGCUAUAAAUCUAAUGAAGUCUAGGUUUUGCCGAUGUUUUGAUUUGAUUCAAAUGUUUCUAUUCUUUCUGCUUAAGGAAUUUACAAUAUAACAGUUGUAGAGCAUAAUUAGCAUGAUCAGGGAUAACCAAAUGUGUUACUUUUCUGCCUAAGCCUAGUGUAAACCAAACAAGUUUUCAUGGCAACUAUAAUCUGGGUAUCCAUCUUUGUUCACCGCCUAUCAGGUCAUGUAGUUUCCACUUUUAUUAUGGAGUAAAUUGCAGGGCCGGUCCUUAAAGUAUUAUGUGGUUUUCAUCUUGGUCCUCAAACUAUGAAAUCGCACGUCUGACUCCCUAAUGUAUUUAAGUGAUCUCAUCUAGGUCCCCAAACUACGAAAUCGCACGUCUGACUCCCUAAUGUAUUUAAGUGAUCUCAUCUAGGUCCAAAAUACACAUAAGGAGGGUUAGAAGCUGACAUAGUCAUCCAUAUGGAUAUGAUUUAAGCACAUGACUCCUGAUUUAAGCCCACGCGUGCGGCCGCCGGCUCUCCCCUGCUCACAAUCACAGCGCCCGCGGCAUACGACCUGGUCAUGUAGGCGGCAAUGGCGGCUGGUUAUGCUGCCGAGCAGGGUGAGGUAGACAUGGGAGGGGAGGGGCUUGGUCUGCGGUCAUCGGUGAUACACUCGCUCGCGUAACCAGCCGUCAUUGUAACCUACAUGACCAGGUCGUAUAUCGCGGGCGCUGUGAUGGUGAGCAAGGGCAAGCCAGUGGCUGCACGCGUGGACUUAAAUCAGGGGUCAUGUGCUAAAAUAAUAUUCAUGUGGAUGAUCAUGUCAGCUUCUAACCCUCCUAUAUGUGUAUUUUGGAUCUAGAUGAGAUCACUUAAAUACAUUAGGGAGUUAGAUGUGCGAUUUCGUAGUUUGAGGACCUAGAUGAAAUCACUUAAAUACAUCUGGGAGCUAGACGUGCGAUUUCAUAGUUUGGGGACCUGGAUGAAAACCACGCAAUACUUUAAGGACCGGCCGUGCAAUUUACUCUUUAUUAUGUUUGGUGCUGGGAAUCAUAACAAGCUCUUGGAGCAAUAGUUUAACAAAUGAUAAAUCUAUUCCUGACUUGAGUUGUUUAUUGAGCAUGAGUUGCUUGAGGUAUCUCUGGAUUUGUCAUUCUUAAGGCAUUGACUUUGCUUCAGGUAUUUUAUACAUGGCCAAUAAGAUAUUAGCUAGUAAUGCCUGGUUUUCUUUUUAAAAAAAUGUGCAGAUUAUGUUUUCAUUAGAUCAUACAAAAAAGCAAACUUAACGCAAAACUGGAAUCAUAUCCAUUACAGUACCUCCUAUCAAAAACUAGGUAAAAACAUGGAAGAACUGAGUGAUGUUGCACUAGAUUUUUCAUCUGUACUGAAGUGCAUAGGAUAUUUUGCAUCUGUGAUAAAUGUUCACGGCAACUGCGGACUUAUGGAUUUCCUCUGUAUCAGCUUGUGUUUGUCCUACUCACCAUAAUUUGCAAAUUAGAUAGCAAAUGAUGUCGGAUUAUUAUAAUUAGCAUUGGGUGUGUACUAAGGUGAUUUUAGCGCCUCCCUGAUAUGUACCUGCUGCCCCCUGGGACCAAUUCAGCUCCCCCCUGAUAUCUAUCUUGCCCCUAUCAGCACAUUCAGCUCCCUCUCUUGUCAAAGAUUUUUUUUCUCAAUACUUCCAUCUUUUGACAGUUAAAAGUAAACUUAAUUCGGACUACACCAUUCUAGAUUUUUAUUGAAAAAGUUAGGAAAUUCCCUUUGUUUAGGCAAAGGAUGGACUGUUACCCAAUUGGUCCACUCCCUGCAUGGUAAAAGAAAACCUCAUUCAGGACCUAUUCAAAAUACCAAACUAUGAUUUAUAAUUUUACACCAUUUAAAAUGGUAGGGUAAGUGGGGGGCCUGAAAUCUCCAUAAGGCUGUCAAUUGGUAGGUGUAAAAAAGUUUUCAGUAUGCUAGGACGGUGAACAUUGCUGUGCUUCCACAGCUUGUACAAAUGAAGAUUUGUAAACGUACUCCGUCAAGUGCUCUUAUGCAUAUGAAGUUGUGGGUUGAACUGUGUAAUAUUGAUAGUGUCUACACCAGGCCAUGAAAUUACGCUAGUUCAUGAUGACUGAUUAUAGUAUUCUAUGGUUAGAACAUUUUCAAAUCCCUACUCUUUAGUCUUUAGUGGGAUGGUAUUUACUCUCUGUGUCAAUUUUUUGAAUACAAGAAUUCUUUUGCAGCGAGGAACCUCUCAGGGGAGCUUGUUGAUCUUUCUUCAAAAUUUGUUAAUAUUUCUUUUGUCAUUAUGCUACGACUUGUUUCUUUAGUUCCGUGAUAUUGACAGAAUGGCAAUCCUGUUAGGUUGUUGAAAGUGGUGGGAAGAACAUCGAGGUUGCAGUGAUGACAAAGAAGGAUGGUCUCCGGGAACUCGAGGAGGCUGAGAUUGAUGAAUAUGUUGCCGAGAUUGAGGCAGAGAAGGCUGCAGCGGAGGCUGCAAAGAAGGGAGCCCCGAAGGACACCUAAUUCCUGUCUUGUGCUAUGCCUCCCUUCAACACUGUGUGCCUGGUUUUUAUGUUCCAUAGCACCAUCUUAACUGUUUUAGAAGGAUGCUAGAUCUUUAGGUGAAACUAUGCUCAGGUGCCUGUGGCACAAAUGAUGUAAUGUGCUCAUCUACAUGCCUUCUAUGGAAAUUUUCAAUUUCGUCUACUGUGUCAUCUGGACAGUAAUAGUUCAAACGUUUUCUACUUGAUGAUUCCUUGUCAUGACUCAUGCAUUCUCUUGGGCCUGGGCCGGGGCCUGUGGGCUGUGGGAUUCUAAGUUUUGCAGCCUGAGAAUGUUCGUCUAAUUUGUUGAUGAGGAAUAGGAUGGUCUGUUUUUGCGUCUUUUGCUUACUUAAAAAAAAUGAUGAGGAAUAGGGUGGUUUUUUUUCCGUCUUUUGCUUACUUCUUCAGCGGUGCUGUGAUUGAUUCCACGGUAUCACUUGGAGCCGGUUUUAUCUGGCUGAAUCUUACGCAUCUGGGCACUAUAUAUUUAUAAACAGGAUGACACCAUGGUUUCUCCUAGUCGGUCUGGCUGUGUCAUUUCGGUUGAUGAUAAUCUCAGAUGAUAACGAUGGUGCUUUCACCGUAAUGUCACGCUGCUUCACAAUAUUUUCAGUUCAAGGCGAUAAUUAAUGCUGCUGCUUUCUUCUACCUGUCGUAUUUGCCCUGAAGAGUCAAUCAACUAGUUGCGAGCUGUAGUCUCUUUGCUUCUCUCACACAGCACGAGCAAAACCUGGUGCACAGAAGAGAUCACUGGCGACUUUGCUCCCUCCGCUACACGUCAGAGCACCCUAUUCUCCUCCACUUUACAUCACAGCUGAUUGCAGAAGCCAUAACAGAAGGUGCAAAUUUGCAGUAUUCUUCAAGUUUACAUCACUGUGGAUUUCUAGAACAUGGAAAAAAGAAUAAAUUUCCAUACAUUUUUGUCUGCCUGUUAUGAAGUUAUGAUGCAUGAAGCAACCAACUCAGCUGCCGCGGGCUCCGUCAGGCAGUGGACUCUGUUUAUUUACUGAUUAUUAGCACGUCAGGUGAGGCCAGGCGUCAGGGGCUCAGGGCAGGGCAUCAUCAUAGGCUGCCAAACGUGGCCUGCUGUUUUUCAAAGAUGGAUAACACUAAACCUGACGUGCCCGAAAACAUGAGCGGCUAACUACUUCGGAGAAAGAAAACGGCAUGAUGUGAAGGUGAUGCGCUCGCAUGUUAUGCUAUGCUAUGUACACCAGGCGUGCACUCAAACACUAGCAGAGCGUCAGCCAUGUCUUGGUUUCUCUGGGCUGCUGGGCACGCACGUUUCAAGUGUCACCGGCUCAUCAUCCAGUCCCCACGGUGAAUGGAUGAAGACCUGAAACUCUUCGAUGUGUGAGUGUGAGUCAUUUUUUUUUUGGCAGGGAUGAUCUGGGGUUUUGUUAAUUGUUUCCAAGAGCGACAUGUCGUACGUCAGAUGAGAUCUCUGAAUCAGCAGAGAGACUGAAUUUCUGAUCCCCUGCUGUGGUGAAGAACCAUGGUAAAUCCUGGAUAUGCGUCUCACUGUCUCACUGAUAAUGUCUAGACGAAUUUGAAGGCUAUAUAUAUAUAUAUAUAUAUAUAUAUAUAUAUAUACAGAUCAGUAGGGGUUGACUCCUGAUUAGAUUGAAAAGAAAAAAAACAGACAGUUCACAGUUACAGCCCUGUUUGGAACUAUGAAUAUCUCCUGAUCUCUCUACAGGGACAUGAACUGAACUAUUUCUUCUGCCUUAUCAAAAAAAGAAAACCGGCCUAUUUCUUCCAAAACACCCCUGCGUUCUACACAAGCUUUUAUUAUGGAACCUUUUAUUCGUAGUGAGCGACUGGAUUAGCAUAUGUGCAGAACGGAGGAACAUACCCCUGCUUGCACUGUUGUGCCUGUUGGCGAGGUUGGGACGUAGCUAUCCGCUGGGCACUCGAUCGGGCCUUAUUACACUAUCAUAUCGACAUGACCGGCACCGGCUGAGGCCUCUUGAACGCUAAUAUGACCACCUACUCACCAUGCACGAUUUAACCCUGCUGCCACUUUUCUAGAAACGCAUGAGCGGAUACCAGCACCGAUUGGAUACCUUGGCACGCACCUUUUGGCCAGCGUGACAUCACACACACAACAACAACAACAACAACAACAACAUUCUUAGCCUGGCCAAUUAGCGGAUAAAGCAAUGUGAAAAGAGACCACUGAUCCUCAGGUCUCCACACGUUGGAGCCCAACCAACUAGAGUUGACCAGGAGGCUGCCAUGGAACAUGGAUGGAUCAUAUGGACUGGAAGCAGUGGGGAAGGAGGUGUGCCCCAUUAUAUAUAAAAAUAUAUUUCUCAUGUGAGAUCGAAUAGGCACCAAGCUUUUGUUGUUAGUAUAAUAAUCACCUCUUCGUUCAGGUUAAUCCGUGCCGAUUAGCAGGGAGCGAUUGAUGACAGUUUUAAUUUGCCAAAUCAGGAAAAGGGAGGUUUCGGAUAAGAGCGAGGACGAGGAGGGUUGGGCUUCGGUUCGGCAAGCGGCGGGGCCCGGCCCCACGCUCGGGGAUGGCCCGCGUGGGUAACCCCAACGGAGCCUGCCAACCACCGGCGCUCCAUGUCACGCGGGGCCCGCCGCCUCGGGAAACAGGGACAGGGACAGAAAGGGAAAGCGGCGGGCGGUACCAAGUACCAACCACCUAAUCUAAUCUAGGGCUCCGGCUCCAACCAAUGGCGCUUCGCUAUCGCCUACCUGGACAGGACAGCGAUGUGAUAUGGGUGGUCAUGGCCACACGCACUUGCCAUUGCCAGCAAGUUCGAUCGGCAGCGGCAAAACGCCAUGGCCAUCCAUGCUCCUCACUCCUCAAGACCUCAACUUGUAGGUAGCUCUUCUGACCUGACCGGCCUAGAGCUACAGAUCGACAUGCAUGCACGCACGCACGCACGCACGCAGACGCAGCGCGGUGAAUCAAAGUCAGCAGAAAUAAUCUGAAACCAUCCCCUGGAUCGAUCGCUCUCACGAGUACUACAUAGUUAUCAAAAGCUCGAAGCUACUGUCAAUCGAUCCACCGGACCGGUAAAGCCCGUAGCUAGACGCUACAUGUACUGGUCCUCGAUAAGGUGAUGGAGGAAAUCACGAAAACGAAGGAUGGUGGGAGAGCUUCCACGAGCACAACUGCACAAGCGACAUCACGUUACCUGCCCUGCCCACGGGGCAAAUAUCGCUCGGAUUUCGUCAAGAUUCCCAUCCCAGCCGGGCGCAGUCAGUCGCGCAUCAUUUGCCCCGCGGAACGCAGAAGCAGAACUAGUACCGGGGGAGGUCGCGCGGAAAACACACACACACACACACGGGUUGCCCGGAUAUAACAGCGACCACACCCGGCGCCUUUACGGUCGCGUGACGACUGACGAGGCUGCACGUACGAGAGGCCGGUAGAGCGAGCGGCCGGCACAGCAGAUAAGCUCGAUCGAUCGGCUCCGCCGGCCGGUGACCGCAACGACGGAGGGGUCGUUUUCCGGCGGCCCCGGCCGUUCCAUUCCAUUCUCCAUGUAGCAAGGGAUAAGAACGGCAGGGGGAGACUAUUUUCCAGCGCCGACGCAGUACGUGCCGAGUGAUUGUGCGCAGCGCACGUAGGCCGCCCGUCUGGUGAGUGGUGGUUGACGGCCGGGGCGAUCGAUCGCGUUCCCGUGCUGGGCCCGAUCCAUGGAUCCCCCAGUCCCAGACCCCAGUACGUACGCGCGCGUUGUGCGCGGCACUAGCAAAGGGCCAACGGGAUGUCCGUGGUGGAUUAGUGGAUGUCUGGUGGUUUCGGCUACUGGAUCCAGAAGAAGAAUGCGCUGCUAGUACUGCACUGCUACUAGUGCUACAGGACACUGAUGUGAGCUGCCAUGCACGCAAAGAUAUUUGUGAGUGGCGCUUGAGCUUUUCGCCAAGCGAGCACGAACGGGGUGCCGGCGAGCACAGCACUUGCACGUCGCUGCCGCGCGGACGAACUUUAAUUUUUCGUUGCCAAAUGGCACCGUAGUAGAUAUAUACUACUUUUGGCGAGCACGAACUGGUAGAUAUUUCGGUGAGCCCGCGGUUGCAUGCCCUGGCCCCGCCACCGGCGUGUCACUUUUUCUUCCUCCUUUUCUCCUUGCAAUGCAGAGAGCACCGAUGUACUCCUACGUAGCAGUCGUGAUGUAGAUCUGUACCGGCAACUUUUGCCGCCUCUUGGAGAGUCGUCGUCGGGCUCUGGUCUGAUACCGGGCAACUUCUUCCUGCAGUGGAGAUAAACGUCUGAUGCGUGGAUAAUUUAACCAGCGGCGAGCUGAUCCAUCGGAGUCACUUGUCACACACUGUUCUCUGAACCUGUUGUUGUUGUUGGUAGUCAAGUACGGAGUACUUAUUAACACUUUUUCUACCAAUUAGUACGAAGUAUCGCCGCCGCAGGAGUACUCCGUGCUUCGUUGUGAAUAAUCUCAUCCAGAGGUGAUGUUACAGCUGCUGCUCACACUUCACAUAUUCGGUGUGAACGUGAACGUGCGUGAAAGAUUCUACUGGACUGGAGCCCGGCGUCCAAGCUUCAAGGAGCAGAGAGCAUUCAACGCAAGCCCUGGUCCCCGGAUCCCACCGGGAACAUCGAAAUGGCUGGCAUGGAUGACUGAAUGAUUGGCAAGCAAUAAAACAGCUCGAUCCAUGCAUCUCGUCCACCCUACUGUGUGUUUGGGCUUGUUUAGUUCACUCUGAAAAUCAAAAAGUUUUCAAAACUCUGCGUCACAUCGAAUCUUGUGGCAAAUGCAUGAAAUAUUAAAUAUAGACGAAAAUAAAAACUAAUUACACAGUUUAGCUGUAAAUCAUGAGACGAAUCUUUUGAUCCUAGUUAGUCCAUAAUUAGAUAAUAUUUGUUAUAAACAAACAAAAAUGCUACAGUAUCGAAAACUUUUCACUUUUCGGAACUAAACAAGGCCUCACGCUCUCGUCGGUAGCUCACCACUGACUGCAGGAACAGUGCUGCCCUGUGACAAAAGAGCAGCGAGAAUGUCCCUCUCCAGUCCACCACCCGUUCGGCUUCGUCCCUUCCGAUGGGGGAAAAAAAGACGAAGAAGAUGAAAUGGCAUGUGACCUGGAGCCCUGGACUUUUGCUUUCUGUCAAGAGCUGAUGCACCAGCAUGGCCAUCAAGGCCGUGGCAGAUGACCUGGCCCCCAUCCGAUUAGAAUCUCCCGGCCCUAUCCGUUUCCCCAUUGGACGGCUCCCACCCUGCGCAUUUUAAAUGCAACAAACACCACACUUGUCUCGUCACUUCAUCUUAAUCUUAUUGUUGGUAGGUGUACGAUCACAACGAAAGAACAUCUCAUAUUAUUUCUGCUAAAUAAACUUAUUGUUCUUGUACACACAAUUAUUCUUCUACACGCAAAUAUUUUCUACCAGGGCGCGUGGACUGUGACCUUUAUUAUAUAUAUACUAGCACCCAAAAAACAGAGAGAGAGAGAGAGAGAGAGAGAUGCUGUGGUUGGCUAGUUGUUCACUUGUUUACAUCAUCAGCAUAAAUAAACAAGAUAUAUAUUAUAUACAUAUGCUGGCGCACGGGGUUGUAUUAUCCGUCGUCUGGCUAAUUAUUGACGACCAAAAAACAGUCAUAAAACUGAUACGGAUGAACAUUUGAACAAAUAGAUCAUCAUCAUCAUGCAUGCAUAGUACUACAACUAACACCAGAGAGGUUGUGGGCAAGACAGGAGGGGAGAGGAAUAACUCCAACAACGGCCACGCACAACAAACACCAAAUACCAAGCACGGCAAUAAAACCGAACGGUGUACUCCAACAGUUGGGAGAGCUUUGUUUGUUUGGCACGCAGCACCUACCAAAGGGGUUCGAUCCAUCCAUCGAAGAGCUAGGAAGGUCCGGCCUGGUACGUGUCGCCAUCGACACACUUGCUCGAUCAUCACAGCAGGUCAGGUCGGCCGCAGAAUUAUUUGCUCCCAUUCAAUUUCCGCAACUACCAAAAUACUCAUACAGUGCACGCAUCACACUAUAGUAUAUAAUCACAGGGACGCGUUUAGUGGUAUAGGAAAAAAAAAACGGACUGAUGAUGUGAAAGCCCUAAAUCAAUGGUCGGUCAUGCAUGUUAUUAAUUCAUUUGUCUAUCGCCUAUACUAAUAACAACAUGAUAGAAGUAGUAAGUACUUGACACGAAGGCAGAUACCAACACUCUCUCUUAAUUAUUGUUUCACCGUUAUGUCAUGACAGCGAUUCUGACGGCUAUGCAUAUACGUAUCUUUAUAUCUUUAUUAUUAUGUAUCCAUUUAAUAGUUUCAUACUGAUCAACUACCGUAGAUACCAUGACGCGUGUGUACGCGUAUUUUAUAGCUGCCAGUACUCCUGGAAAAGAUAUAUAAUAAAGAAGUAGCCAAGAGAAGUUUUUUUUUUUUGGAGCCUACCAAGAGAUGGAAUUGAAAAGAACGCAAGACAACGUGGGGGUUGCUUUGAUCUGCGGACAGCCUAACCGAGAACUUGCCCAAAAUUGACGACUUGGGUGAUGUAUUGGUAGGUAGCCACCGGAAAAUGACUUGUCGCUUGUAGUUUUAUUUUUGUAAUUUUUUUCUCCAAUGUGCUGCCUUGUACUCCCUACUCACCUCCAAUAGCUUUUGUUGGGUAUGAACUAAUGAAUACUAGAUUGUUAUAUGUUUUCCCCGUUAUCAAAACUACUAUGUUUUUUUAACUGCUUCUCCGUACGUAAGUAUAGUAGCGGGGGUAUAUAUGAAUACUAGAUUGUCUGAUUGAUUUGGAUCUGCUUAGUACUAUGAGAUUCGCCAUUAUUGUACUAUCUUGGAGAAUGAUAUACUUAUCUUAUCAAAGGAUCAAUGCCAUAUUAUUGGAGGUGCCUUCAGUCCAAUAAACACCAACUGUAAAUGAAUCAAGAAAAAAGGGUUGGGGCCCGGGGGGGGGGGGGGGGGGGGGGGCAUGACAGUCAAUGACUUCUGAAAACGUUUUUCUCUUAUUCAGAGAAUUUUUAAUUGUAGUGCACACCCAAAAAAACACAUGGAUUUUGUAGUAGUGCACGUCAGCAUAUGUGUUUUACUCAUGGUGUUCAGUAUUCGCGGGAACAACAAUGACAUCCUUUGGAUCAAACAGAUGACCAACGACUACGUUUGUACUGGAGUGGAGAACGUGUGGGGGCUAGCUCCCUACGCCUAGCAUCUAUCAUCGGGUAGUAUGGACAUUGCUAUUCCCCUAUGUGGCACGGGGGUGCAUCUAGAGAUGACAACGGCUACGUACCCGACGGGUAGUGGCCACCCGUAACUGUACCCGCGAAGUCUAAAUUUUACCCGUCGAGUUACCCGUACCCACACACGGGUAGGAAAAUAAUUCCAUACCCGCACCCGCGGGUAAUUUCUACCCGACGGGUAACCCGCACCCAUUAGUAUACCCGAAAAUUACAUACAAAUAUCAUAUAUUUACACAAAGAAAAUCAUACUAAACCUCCAACAAGUUACAAACUAAUAUUCAUAUGACAACAUCAAAUUCAUAUACAUAUAUAUUAGGAGAGUUUAGUUGGAUUUAGACCAAAUUCAUGUGCUAUAUAGGCUAAAAUGAGAAGGGUGGCUAGUUAUUUUGACGGGUAUCUUUUACCCGCGGGUAGGCGGGUAUGGGUAGUAUACACCCACACCCGUACCCGCGCAUAUGUAUAGAAUUUUGCCCAAUAACAUACCCACGGGUAGAAAAUUCAUUCCAUACCCGUCUCUUUAUCGGGUAAAACCCGUCGGGUACUCGGGUUUCGGGUACCCGUUGCCAUCUUGAGGUGCAACUGGUCAUAGUGUCCCAAUUUUUUAUUUUUUGGCCCUUUUUUUAAAAGAAAUUUACAAUUGGCCCCUCUGAAAACUUAAUUCGACCUUUGGACCCAGGGGGUCGGCGCCAGAUAACCUGGCUCCGAGGUAACACGUCGCGGAGCCGCAGAUCAUGGCGCCCACCUCGGCGCCACAGAUCUUGGCGCCGACCUCAGAGCCACAGAUCUUGGCGCCGAGGUCGGCGCCACAGAUCUCGGCGCCGAGAUCAGAUUUAUAACGCGCAACGUGCACCCUUGGCCGCGCCCGAGAGCUCUCAUUUCUCCUCACUGUCGGCUUCUAGCUUCCCUACCCUCCUAAUCUUUUGCAAUCUUUAAUUUUGGCCGUUAAAAUUUGGAAGUGAUCCGUAGAUCUUUGCUAGCAAGGUAAUCUCUCUCCCCUCCUCAUUUUUUGUCUUGUGAUUUCGUAUAUAUUUCAUGUAUUCUUAGAUUAAUGUUGACAUUGAUUAUUAAUUUAUUUAUUUAUUAUGUAACGGUAGGAUGCCAAGGCGUGGUAAAGCUAGUAAGCCAAGGUAAUCUCUUAAUUAGGGUUUUUAGUUUAUGUUUUCAUUAAUUAGCAAUAGAUGAAGAACCUAGGUUUAUGGUUUAUUUUAAUUUCUUUUCGCUUAUUAGAACGGAAUAUGUUUAAAUUGUAGCUAUGGACGGACGACCGGUAGUCCGUACGACCUAAAGCCUCUCCCUAGCGGUGUUCCAAGACCCAUGUGCUUUUGUGGUGAUCUUUGUAAAGUAGAAAUUUCUGAAGAUGAGGAAACGUAUAAGCAGAGGUAUUGGAUGUGUUCCAAUUUUGCAUGGGAGCCUACGCCGCAACAACGCCGCAGCAAAUAUAUUGUGAGGAUUGUAUUGUGCAUUACGUAGUUUAUGUUAUAUGAAGCAUGAUUUAUUUUUUUAUAACAAUUAUUUUUGUUGCAGACCCCUCCACCGUUGUGUGAUUUUGAGCAGUGGAUCGACACUGAGAUCAAAGAGUCGGACAAGCGGCUUCUACAAAACCUGAAGGAGUGAGAUGCAGAGCGUGCGAAGAUAUUCGAGAUGAGACGCAAAGAGGAGGCUCUACAGAAGGAGCACAAGGAAGAGGAGGAAAGGAGACGUGUUGCUGUGUUAAGGGAGGAGAGGGAGAAAAAGCUUGAGCGUGUGCGCCGAGCGAAGGCAGCGAUGGAGGAAAAUCCUGAUGCACAGAGGAAGGGAAAGUGGCCUCGUUGCACUCAGUAAUUUUCAUUAAUGCUAGUUGUAUGGUUGUGUUUGACUUUGCAAUGCGUUAUCAUGUAAUGGAUUUUAAGUAAGGCCAUAUGUAGAACAUGUUAUGUGUUAACUAGUUUUUUGCCAUGUUUCGAGUGUUAUUGCACAUGGUAUAUUUGUUUAUGGUUUUACUAUCAGCAGUGGUUGUAUUAAGUUCAAUAAUUCAUAGAGUGUGAAACUAGUCGAAGUAGUAGAUAUAAAAUUUAACGAACUAGUGGACUACAUAAUUGACACGUGAAAUGGCAUGUAAGAAUAUGUGCCAAACAGGGGUACAUAGUUCUUUCAACUAACCCUAACAUGCCUUAGGUAAUUUAACCAAACAACAACCAUAUCGAAGUAGCUUGUGAAUGAGUUCGGUUUGAACUAGUAGUGUGGCCACAUAGCAAAUUGUGUUGCACCUUCUCCAAAGUAUGCACCCAUUGUUGGUGGUGGUGGCGGUGGCGGUGGUGGCGGAGGACCCUUGUUCUUGUGAUUAGGGCAGGUGCAGUAUGGAUCAUUGCACAGUCCAUCCUGUGAACCAGCACCAUCGUUGUUGUCGUCGUCUUCGUCGUCUUUGUAGCCACUACUAACUUUCCUUUUCUAAAUCAAAGAUACGGUCCUGCAGGUAGUAGAUAUACUCCGCAUGCGGAUGAAUAGGUCUAGGAUCAACCCACCUAGUAAACCCACAGUUUUCUUUGGACAUGUCGUAUAAGUAUGCAGUACAAAAUAGUAACUUUUUGAAGCGACAAAUAUUAAAAUCAAUUACCCAUGCUCGUGGGCAUUUGAAGAAACGACGACCUCCGUCCAUCCUCUCUGUGUACAUCUGUACCAAGCAAUCCUCACCAUGCAUGCAUUUUGGCCACUCCUCUUUCUGGUCAUCAUAUCCUCUUAGUGGUGCCUCUUUGGUGAAAUCAUGUUUAGUCUCUAGGGGGAACCUAUCAUAAAGUGCCUCCUCAAAGUCUUCAGGACCAAGAGAACCCUCCCACAAGAAGAGAGUUCCCUUCGUCCCCGCUUUUCCCUUGCCCUUUCCUCUAGACGACCCUCCAGACAUUUCUACUAGAACGUACCAACUUCUUGUGUUAGUUGAGUAGCAACACUUCCACCACUGCGUAUUUAUAGGCAGCCGAAGACUAUGUCAUAGGACACUAGAGACCCAGUAUUCGAGGAAUGAAAACCCUACUCGCCCAUGACCUGAUCGAUCACUGAAAAAGUUACAUGAAAACCCCAUUCACCGAUGACAUGAUCGGUCACUGAAAAGGCUACAUGAAAACCCCAUUCGUCGAUGACAUGAUCGGUCACUAAAAAGGCUAGAUGCUCUGCAUCCCACUGUUUUCAUCGUCCUAGUAACAGAAAAGGCUAUUCUAAAUGUCUGAAAAGGCUAGAUUCUUUAGUAGCACAUCAUAUAUUGCAUGAACAUUUAAUUCAUUUCAUAUUGCCUACUCUCUCGUGCAAUACUUUUUCGUCAUGGCAUAUUAAAUCUCAAAUGCAAUUAAUAUAUAAAGAAUGUUUCACGGAAAAAAUUCGCAAGAGUUUCCCUUAUUUCCAGAGCAUCCACAUAUACAAACAGAAAUUUAGUCAUCCACAAAUAUAAUUCACAAAUUUAGUCAUCCAAAUAAACAAACUCCACCAGAGUUUAGGUAAUAACAUGUCAUUGACAUAGUCCAGAAUGUUCAUAUAGUCCUAAAUAUUUACAGCAAAGUUUCCAACUCUCCAUGUUAGCACAAUAAUCACAUACUGUCUCUAGAAAAUAAAAAAAAAAGCAGCUAGGUCAGGCACUCGUGCUCAGUGCCUCCUACUCUUAGCCUUUCCCCUGUGGCCCAGAGCUCCAGUACCUGGAGUGUACUUGCAAGGUGGACGUCGUCGCCUUGUUCCUGCAACCUGUUGUUCAGAGUCGCUCAGCUCAUCAUUGCCAUCGUCAUCAUCAUCCUCUUCAUCUUUCUCGUCGUCCUCGUAUACAUUGCCUUGGAAAGUGUCCACAGAUGCCCUAGACGAGCUCUGUCCUCCUGAACCUAUAGACAGGGGUUUAAAUACGUGUGCGCAUAAGUGAUCUUAUCAUGUCAUUAUUAUAGCAAUUAUCUCUAUAAGUAAAGAAAACAUCUAAUGAAAAUAUACCUCCAUGAGAAGAAGUGGGCACAGGCUAUGGCUCCCAUUCUCGUCCCUGUGGCACGUCCACAUCCAACGCAGUGCUAGUACCACAACCACAACGAGCAGCUGCUCGCCUUAGCCUACGCGCUAGCCUCUGCCAUGAAAAGAUGUAAUUAGUGAGAGGAAACAAUAGUUUAAGUGUUGCUGUGUGUACCUAAAUUACAGCAUAUAUUACCAUGAGAUUAAAACAGUAGUUAAUUAUUCGAGUGGUUAAUUAUUGCAGCCACCAAAAUUACUAGCAGGCAGCCAUGUAAUGACAAUAUGCAGUCGCUGCUGCUGCAACACAAUAGAGACAGAAAAGACAAAAGGUAAUGUUGUCCUUACUCCAAGAAAGCUGUCUAGCGUGUGCUCAUCCACUCCUGUCCUUGGAAACCGUUCAAUCUCAAUCACUGAUUUCUUUAGCGUGUUGCCCUGCAAAAUUGGAGCCAGCUGAUAUAACUGAUUGUACUGCACAAGUAGAUGCAAGGUUAAGUGUAGCCCAGUCCACGGUUGUGAAAAAAAAUAUAUCCUACAAUGCCAUAUGUGUCAAAUGUUUAUGCUAUAGCUGGUCUUACCACUCGGUCGAGGAUAGGUGCACACUCUACUUGUGUCCCAACCUUUGUUGCAAGGUCGUAAGAAGUUUGUUCAUCAUCUGAUGACGCAAUGUCAGCGUAGUCUACUUGGGUCCAUUGCACCUUUAGCUUCGUUCUUGUUGAUCUUCUGUACCAAUUUAGGUACUGUCUGAAGUUUUCGUUUGUGUGGGGCUGGUCGUUCUCAUACAAGUUUUCAUGAAAACUUUCCCAGUACUCGAUGUAACGGCGCUCGAUGUAACGGCGCAAAAAAGUACCAUCAAUGGAUAAGAUUGGACGACAAUGCCUAAAGGCCUCAAAGCACUGGGGAAAGCACCAAAAUGCUCGAAAGAAUAUCUGCCUCCCGUUCUUCCAUUCAUUUGGCUUUGGGAUAUACUCAUAAUGCAUGCCUGGAUUUGCUGCUUUAAUGGCAUUGAACAUUGCUGGCAACUGCUCGUACCCCUCCUCCCAGUCCCCAUAUAUCAUCUUCCAAGCCCUUUGCUUUGCCCUCCAAGCCUUACCAUACUUUAUGUCAUACUUAAAUAUUUUCUUAGCCAUGUCCAUAAUUGUCCUGACCUUCAGGUUGGGCUGACCUUUCAAUAUUGUGUACAACGUGCUAGCAAUGAGGGUAGAGGUCAACUGUCGGUGCUUCUGUUGUAAAUCUGUCUGGGCACAAAUGUGUGGACCUACAAUUUUAGUGAUCUUAAACUUACCAGUGGCCUUUUGUUUACGAGCACAGACCCUCCAAUUGUAAUCUGCCAUCUCACACACCACAGUGUAACGGCGCUCGACAUACGAGUGCCUCACCUUGAAAUGUCUUUUACGUCUCACAGAGUACUCCUGUGACCACCUCUUUAAAGAGGGCAAGUCGUUGAAGACCAUUCCCUUCUUAAUUUCCACACUUUCACCUGCCUCAGGAGCCUCUAUCAGCUCGUCAUCUCUUCCUUCUGCAUAAGCAUGAUGAGAGUGACUGAGAGAACUGAAUUCAUGAACAAGUGGAUCACGAUCAGGACACAAGCGUCUGAUGAGCUCCAUUUCUUGUUCACUCAAAGCUGCAACGGGGCGGUCAUCAUCAGAAUCAACGGCCCUAGCUGUGCCAUAAGGCUCCUCAUCAUCCACAAUUUCAACAUCAACACUGUUAGAGGCUAUAAAACCUGGGUCCAAGUGGGUUGAUGGACCAACAGGAGCACAACCAUCAUUAUCAGGAUUAUCUCCUGCAUUUAAAGCAUGAAUAUGGAAAGCCUUUUAGACAAAGGAAAGUAAAUAAGCAACAAUAAGGAAACGAUAGUGUCAAUACAACACUUACUAGGAUGAUUCUGGGUCAAGGGUAUCUCAUGAGGGGCAACAAAACCAUCAUCACUACCACGAACUUGAGGACAUACACCAACCUCAUUAGGGGCAGAUUGAGCAUCCGGCACCACAACCACAUCUUCCACAUCCACCUCGCGGUUGGGUAGCAGAGGCUCAUAGAUUGGUGGAUUCACCGGUGUUGGCGACAACCGAUUAGGGGGUGCAUGACUAUUAAGGGGUGGAUACCCAUGAGGGUUGGGAUUGUUAGAAAACUUUCGUAUAACCAAAUCCAAACAUUGAAACUCAUUCUUCAUGACAGUUCUGACAUAUUUGUCCCACUGACCCUCUGAUGCAAUUGGGACCAACCGCCUAAAUAUACGGCCUGAUUUACCAUAAUGAAGUACCCCAUCAACUGAGAUGUCAUCCUCAUUGCACUGAAGCUCAUCACAAGCACUACCAACUAACUCAGAAAACAAUGGCCGAUCAUCGAACAUGAGAGGCACUCUUCGCAUCCCAACAAAACUAACGUUCCAAAACUCAUCUUCCUCUACUGUACCUCCAUAAAAAAGAUUGACUACGUUGUCCAUCUAGAUGAUAUGCAAAACACCAAAGUUAUUACAGAAUUAACUAAAAUGGGUAGAACUAAAUUACUAGCUUAACCAAAGUUGUCUCUAUCUAAAUAAAUAUGUAUCCAAUCUAAACUAACUAUUAAUGUACUUAGAUAUUUAUUUACAUAACAAAUUCUAUCACUACAUAACUAAACACAUAACUAAUUCUAUCACUAGAUAACUACAUUUACCAAAAUAAAUACAUUUACUACAAAUAAUAUCUAGAUAACUAUAAAUUACCUAACUAUCCAUCCACAUAACUGAUUCUAUCACUAGGGUCUUAUAUUAAUUAACUAAUGUAAAUAAAUAACAAUUUCAAUUUAUUAUAACAGAAUGUAUAAUACCUAAACAACCUAAAAAAAUUACCUUUUCUUGCUGUCUGUGGGGAGUCCUGCUUGGAGUCGCGUAGCAGGGGAGGUGGUCGCGUGGGGGACCUCAGCUCUGGGCGGGUAGGCGAUGGGCGGCGUGAACGCCUACCGCGCCCAGUGCCCGCCCGCCGGCCGCCACCGCCACCGGCCGGGCCGCGCCGCGCCGGACGCCGUUAACCACCGGGAGGAAGAAGAGGCGCGACGACAGCCGGGGAAGCAGAACUCCUGUGCGGCGGAUUAGGGGCGCCGUCCUCUGGUUGAGCCGCGCCGGCGUUGCUCCUACACCGGCGGCCGCAGGGGAGGGGAUGGGAUGACCGCAGGGGAGGGGAUGGGAUGGGAGAAGGAAUGGGUGGCGGCGGGCAGGAAACAGACGAUUCGCGAGAAGUUAGUCGCGGUUUUGAUCAGAGGACCUCGGCGCCGAGAUCUGUGGCGCCGACCUCGGCGCCAAGAUCUGUGGCUCUGAGGUCGGCGCCAAGAUCUGUGGCGCCGAGGUGGGCGCCAUGAUCUGCGGCUCCACGACGUGUUACCUCGGAGCCAGGUUAUCUGGCGCCGACCCCUAGGUCCAAAAUUCGAAUUAAGUUUACAGAGGGGCCAAUUGUAAAUUUCUUUUUAAAAAAAGGCCAAAAAAUAAAAAAUUGGGUCAUAGUGUGCUGCGCCCCGCGUCUUAUAUGGGUAACAUGUCCAUGGCUGUCCGCGUUACAUCCAAACAAAUGUUUCUUUGAUGCUCGAAAAAAACUUAGCCAAGUUCUUUCUAGGUUCUUUUUGGGCGAGCCCUCGGAGAAACCGCUAAGGGGCGUCCUAGCUUGGUCGUGGGACGUCAUGAGACCAUUGUACCGCUAUUUAGGUGGCUUGGAGUCGAGAGCUAGUCAGGUACAUUCCCGACUGAUGAGUGGGUUCGAUGGCUCGAGGCCCUUCGCCUUGGUUCACUUGGGAGGUAGACAUGAGGGAUAUAGUUGUAGUCACAGUCAUACCUCUCUCUCUCUCUGUGUUGGGGGGGCGGGGGUGUUACUCGUGGUACUAGUAGAAUAAUAAUAAGAAUAUCUUGUUCUUGUACAAUUUACGUGAAAUUUCUAGCACUACCAUUACACAAAUUUGCAAAGUGUAUGUAAGAUUGGAAUUGAACUGCAAUGAUCUCAAAAGUAUGUAAACUUGUCUAAUUAACAUUAUCAGAACCUCUUUGUAAAGGGAUUUGUCCUAAGAACUUUUAGAGUUCAGCUUUUUCCCAAACAGGGGAAACUCAUCAAUUCAGGGGGUGUUUAGUUUCCAUUUUUUUGCAAAAAAAUUUAGAUUUUGGUCCAUCAUUUUGCAAAAUAGAACUAAAUACUAUGCAAUUUUUUUUGGCAAAAAGGUGUUUAUUCUCUAUUUUAAAUUUUGGCCUCAAGAGGUCAAAAAAACUCAAAAAGAGCAUCAAGAGGCUCUCAUGAGGACAAUAAAUUCUACAUUUUAAAUAGAACUAAACAUGACCCUGAAAUUUUUGGUAUUUUGUAUUUCAUCACUCCAAAGUAGUUGAUAUUUUAUAUUUUGGAGCAAUUCCAACAGUUUUGCAAAUAAGUUUGGUAUUCUUGUUUUUUUGUCAAAACUCUCAAAAUCUUCUAUCCAACAGUUUGACAAUUGUGUUUGACAUUUGUAGCAAGUUGGCAAAUUCUUCUCUUUUCUUGGCAUUUAUGCACACCUAGAAUAGGCUUGACAUUCUGCAUGCGCGUGCUUUUAUAGCAAGCUGACAACUUGAUGCUUCUUCGUUGAUCUUCCACAACAAGUAGAAUUUUGUUUUUGCCAAGUCAAAAUUGUCAAACACUUGGAGAUGUCCUUUUUGUUCUCUCAUCAUAUCGUUUUGGAAGUUGACAAAUAUCAACAUUUGCCAAACAAAAUUUGCAAAACUGUUGGAGUUGCUUUAAUGGGACUAAACACCCCCUCAGUGAUGGUGGGGAGCUGCCGAAUUGGUCCAACCCUAACUCCCUAAGGGCCCCGGCACAAGUCAUUGUUUAAUGCGGAACUAGACUAAUCUAACCUCAUAAAGACUGUCUCUCCCUAACAGCUCGAUCAGGAUACCCGAUUUGAUUAGCAGUAGUAAAACGGCGGAUCAUGCCGCCCUUCCCGUCUAGGCUCUAGCUACCCCUACUAGCUACCCAGGCGAGGAUGCAUCCAUGUCGGCAGUUAAUAAUGGGGAUUGGCCACCUACCCCUGCCGCCAUUGCUCACGCCCGUGCAUUCAACCUGGCCGAUGCCGAUCUCCCCGUACGUCCGGUCCGGUCCAGUCCACAGCGCCAUGACCAUGAUGUGCUCGCUCACCUGUGUGCCAACUGCAGCUGAUGCUGCCCAUCCUGCCUGUAAAAGCGUGUCGUUGUGACCUCUGACAGCGUGGGCACUUGCAUGAAAGUACUAGUAUCUGUGGCCUUGUUUAGUUUCCAAAAAAUUUUGCAAAAUUUUUUAGAUUUCCCGUCACAUCAAAUCUUUAGACGCAUGCAUGAAGUAUUAAAUAUAAAUAUAAAUAAAAACUAAUUGCACAGUUUGAUUGGAAUUGACGAGACGAAUAUUUUGAGUCUAGUUAGUACAUGAUUGGAUAAUAUUUGUCAAAUACAAACGAAAGUGGUACUAUUCCUAUUUUGUAAAAUUUUUUGAAACUAAACAAGGCAAAAAUGUUAUCGACAGUAAGAUUUAUGUUGUUUAAUCGAUUUCGCUUGGCAGGUAGUAGUAUCAGCUGCAAAGAGAAGGAACAUGACCGCGGCGGCCACAUUAACACCGUAUAUAAAACCUAGCGCGAUGCUAUGUUGGGGUUGGGCAGGCAUUGGCGGUUUGCUUUCGGUGGAAAGUGAUAGCGAUUAGAUGCUAGCGACGAAAGAUAAGACGGGGGAGAUAUAACCAAAAUCCCCAACCUUUUUUUUUUACCACAAGGUACUGUAGCUCGAUAUUUUUGUUUAUCAGUUUGGGGUAGCUGUGACGUGCGAUCGAGUGGAAACUCACACUGAGAACAUGACAAAAAAGAGUGUCGCUUUACAGUACAGCAGUGUUUGGUUGGGACUUGGGAGUAAACUAAACUUCGCGGUAACUAAACAGCAUUCAUGGUGACACUACACUACUAUAUCUUUUAUUACAAUGGCGAACCCUCGUGAAAAAAAAAGGGAAAAUUUUAGCCGUCGUCCAUGUACGGGGAUCGUCAUAGGUCAGGGUUUGGACCUUCGUACAUACACGCAUCCAAAUCGUGAGGCCAAACGAAGCGAUAAUGAUCUUUUUAACAAGCAUGGGCCUCAGCAUAUGCGUUGGCCACUCUUUCUGUGUAGCAAUCCCAAUCGUAGUACGUACGUUAACAGAGCACAUGAGAUUAAGUUCAUAGCUGGCCAGUAGUUAAGCUAGCACUAAUUUUAUUUUCAAUAUCAGCAGUACGUACCUUGUUUUAUCAUUUAUUAUGGCCAUCGCCGCCGCCAGCGCCGGCCAACAUGGGCUGCAAUUUUCUGUGGACGCGUGGUAUGUUUUUGGAAACCAGUAUGCUGCUCCUACUAGUUCGUCACAAGCUGUGUGUUAUUGUAGUACGCAGUAGUACAAGUCACGGACGACGCUUUUGCCGCCAGACGCUACACCCGGCCGUGCACAAACAACAACCACAUCCGGGGCGGGAGUCGCGUCGCCCACACCGCCGCAAUCUCGCGCGAGAAUGACGAAACACACGCACCCGGCUCGAUCGUUGCCCGCAACCAACCCAACCCAACCAAACCCACCCAAAACCCAACGGAGGCACCGCUGCCAACGUCCCUCCGCGGUCCGCCGCCGAUGGCAUUCAUGACGCCGAGCCGAUCGAGGGCGCACGCCCGCGCGCGCGGGGGCAAGGCAAGUUGCGUUGCGCGGGAUCGGAUCCAUCCAAAAACCGCUGACACACACACACACACACACACACACACACACACACACACACACACACACACACACACACACACACACACACACACACACACACACACCACCCGCGCGCCCGCGCCCCCAUCGCAUCGCCGGGGGACGCGACGGCGGCCGAUCGACGGGCGGGGCGGGGCGGGCUCCGGAAAGGCGCGGCAUAUACGUACGUAUAGCUCCUCUUACCUAACAAGCGCCAUAAACUGAUAAACAAAUGGAGGUCGUGCCCUUUACAUGACCUCACGCCCUGCCUGCCUGCCUGCCUGCCUUGUACGCUAGCUUUGGUUACUCCUCCAUUACCAGCAGUGGUAAGCACCUUUUUAUCGGCGAAGAUAAGCUAAGCAGCAGCAGCACGGAAAGAAGAAGCGGGCGUCGCCGGCCGCCUUUUCUCUCUUCGAAUCGAGGGCGACUCGAAUUGCGUACGCUGCUGGCGGGUGGCGGCUACUACUACCACAGUGCCACAGUGGUGCAUACAGGUAGAAAGAAGCAUACACCUAUGACGACCUGUCCUUUUUUUUUCUUUGGUGACUUAUGACGUAGUACGACCUAUCCUUUUGCGCUGUGCGUCGUGUGUGUGUAAUGCAAAAAAGAAAGAAAAAAAAAAGGGCAGGUCAGAUUGGAAAAAAGCGUGGUCUAACUCACGAGGCGCUUUAUCGGGACUGCACGGUUAGGCGAUGGUCACAUGCUGCUGGUGUAGUGGUUUGGUAAACGUAAGAUCUGGCUUAGGCCUCAGCACAUGGUCCAGCGUUUGUUCCUGAGACCACACGGCCACACCCACACGAGGCCCUGAACCUAGCUCGCUAGCCUUCUGCAAACGGGAUUGUCAAUUUUCAGAGACUAAGCAGCAAGUAUUAUUGCCCAUGAUCAGUUGAGUUGGUGAUGGUAAUUACAGAGAAAAAGAGAGGAGACAAAAUGGAGCAACAAGAGAGAGCAGCAGGGAAGACGUACCCAGGGCACAAAUCCUCACCUUUUUUUUUCUUCCUUAUCUCUCUUUCACUCACUCACUACUACGUAUUUUCACCUACGAAGCUAACCAAAUACGUAUCAUCCAGGCGAGAUGUAAAAAAAAAAACAAGAAGGGGGAGAUUACAGAGGGGGAGACGCGAUCAUUUCAUCUCGAGGCUUCUGAAGUCGAGCAUGGCGGUCCUGAGUCCGAGGAAGUUGCUGCACUUGCAGUCGGCGCUCUUGGGGAGGCCCAGGCUGCAGCUGAAGCAGAGCCCGGCCUCCCGCUUCACGGGCUUCAUCGUCACCAUGGCCUUCUCCUCCUGGCACGGCGCCGCCGGCGGGCUGAUGCAGAGGUCCAGGUUGAGGUCGGGGCACUUGAGCGGCUUCCCCUGGCCCCAGUCGCCGGCGGGGUGGUGGUUCUGAUGAUGAUCGCGGCCGAUCGCGGCGGCCGCCGCCGCCGUCGCCUUGUUGUGCUCCUCCAGCCGGAACACGGCGCCCUUAUUCUCCUCACGGUCACGCGCGGCCGCCGCCGCCUCGAACGAGAUGGUUAUGUUGGACGUGUGCUCGUUGAUGGGGCGGUGUGUCACCGGGUCGAUCCCCCUGCUCAGCAGCUUCCUCCGGAUGUGCGUGUUCCAGUAGUUCUUGAUCUCGUUGUCCGUCCUUCCCGGCAGCCUUCCAGCGAUCAGGGACCAUCUGUACCGUACGUACCCAACAGAGACACGGGUUAGGAAAUGAUGAAUAAUAAUGGUGUAAAUGUUGCAGGCGAGACGACGGCGAGGUAUCGGAGAGGGAGGCACGCACGCCGCGCGCGGUAGUAGUCUUACUUGUUGCCGAGGAGGCUGUGGAGCUUGAUGAUGAGCUCGUCCUCCUCUUCCGUGAAGUUGCCGCGCUUGAGGUCGGGGCGGAGGUAGUUGAUCCACCGGAGGCGGCAGCUCUUGCCGCAGCGCAGGAGGCCGGCGGCCUUGGGCAGCGAGCGCCAGCAACCCUCGCCGUGCGCCUUGAUGUACGCCACGAGGCGGUCGUCCUCCUCCUUGGUCCACGCGCCCUUGUUGGUGUGCGCCUUCUCGCAGCACGGCGACCUCCCCAUGAUGGAGGUGUUGUGGUACGCUCGGCCGGCCGGGCACCCAACCAAUCCGAUGCUGCUACCUUGCCUGCUGCUUUCCUGGUCCUUCCUUUUGGCAGCCGCCGCCGCUUUUCUUCCCCCUCCUCGCCUCUCGGGUGCGUUGCGGGCGGCAGUGGAGGUUGGUUGCUGCUGCUGCUGCUGCUGCGAGUGCGAUCGAGGUGCGAGCCAAGGCCCAAGCUAGGGUGGGUGAAGGUGAAGCGGGGCUGGAUUUUAUAGGCACUUGACUGGAUCGCUGGAGGUCUGGUCUUCUAGAGGCAAAGGCUCUGUGAGUUGGUGGCAAAAAAGGUUAGGCCGCCGGCCGGUAGCGGUAGGCCUCCCUCUCCGCCCUGCUCCGCUCUGCCCUCGGGUCAUGAUCUCAUCACUGCCAGCCACUGGUUUACCACCAGUUUCAUUCACAAAGCAAAGCACAGCGCCACGGCCGUGGUCCGUGGAACGGAACCUCCGGCAGGUAGGUGUAAAGUGAGGUACGCGCGCGCGUGUGUGUGUGUGGGUGUGGGUGCCGAUGGAUGGACUCAUGGACAUGGACGGAUGGGGGGGGGGGGGGGGGGGGGGGGGUGCCGAUGGAUGCCUACCUCUCUCUCUCUCUCUCUCCACCACCACCAGUCCACCACGCUGGGUUUAACAGCUAACUAACCGCACCGCCACCGCCCCUGACGCAAACAUGUCCCUGAUUUUUGGUUACGGUGAUGGAUGGGAUUAGGUUCAUCUCCCUUUUUCCUGUCGCUGAUGUCGAUUUGCCAGGCACGCCACCACCACCCCCGUGAAACACCCUGCACAGGAGGUAAAACAUGAGAAUUACACCACGCAUGGCAUGGGGGGUGGGUCAUCUGGUUCUCAUCUCAACUCAACUCCUGCAAGAGAGAGUGUUAAAACUGUAACAUGACACCAGGUUCAGUGCAGUUUGGUCAGGUCAGCAGGUCGAUUAUGCAGGUAGUUUUUUUUUUAUCCUCGGGCACUACUACUAUGUCGACAUGAAAAUGAUUUCUGAUGUACACUAACACGAAAACAGAGUAGUAGUUGUAUACGGGUCGUCAUUCAUGUACUUUUUGCUUAAAAAAACAGACUGAUCUCACCAGCUCUACUCAUCUUGGCACCCUCGCCCUCUUUGUUUAACAACAAGGCAAAUGUUUUUGGUGUACCCACAAACCCAUAUGCUGAUACCUGCACUAAAAAAACACAAGACAGGGUCCUAAACUAAGGGAACCCUAAUCAUGGACUUCCUCCCUUGUUUAUUCCUGAAUAAAAAAAAGAGUGAUUCUGAAUUCGCAUCUGGCACCCCUUAAAUGAAUGUUAUUAUUGGCCACCCACCGUGUUGUUUAGUCUAUUUUCCCAGAAUAAUGUUGUUUCCAGAAUCAUAGAUAUUGUCACAUUCUGAUCUGAUCAACCUACUUUCAUGUGGAGCAUUUGUUUUAUAGUACUCUCAUAUAGUAGGUUAGUUCAUCUGUUUGGUCAACCAUAAAUUAAAAAUUCACCAAACACAUUGCUACAGCAUCUGUAUAGCUUAGCUUUUCGCAGCAAGGCAGAUCGUAUGGAUAUCGUAUUUAUAUAUAUAGGGCCAAUCAACAUGGCGAUAAUAAUUGAACAUUAUCUUUGAUCCUUAAUAAUACACCUACUAUGAUGAGGUCCUUCUCCACUCCUUAAACAUGUGCAUUCUAUUGCAGUAUUGCUCUUUUUUUUGCGGGGUAAAAGCGAGCUUUAUUGACUAGACGAAAAAUUACAAUCAGUUUGACUAUUAACACAAAUACCAAAAUUAUACAGGCUUAUAAUUUUCUACCCAAGCUCGUUCGCUUGUCUUAUCAGCCAUACUUCUUUUUCUGCCUUAUCAGCCAUACUUCUUUUUCUGUCAGCCAACAGUGUUUUCUCUCACGAUAAAUCAGCGAACAGUAUUUUCAGCUAUGACCGAACAUGUAUAGCAUCGGAUUGUGCGGAAAAUGGGAAGCAGAUGAGAUUAUGACUCUGCGAGGUGGACCAUUAAAAAUCCAGCUGGUGUUAUUUGUUAGGAGAAACUUACAUAUCCGUGACAAAACCCAGCUGGGGUUACAUUAUACUAUCUGCCUACCUAAUAUAUUCGUUUCAGGAUGGUUACCAAACUAUGGACCAUAGUUGGUUGGGUGCAGGGAGAGGAAAUAUCCCUCCCAAACCAUUUAGUUUUGGUUGGGGCCAGAAUGAUUGGGACUCCACACACACACCACAAUGGUCCUCCAUAUGCACUGUUUAUGUUUCUGGUGUCCUCCCUUAUUUCUUUCCUGUUGUCAUUGAGUGAUCAUAGCUUCAGAUCUAACUCCAAAUUUUGUUCUUCUUUUUGUGGAUGGGAAGGAUAACUUGAUUUUGUACCUAGAUUUCUAGCUGAUUUGAGACAUAAGGAUAUGGGUCUAUUCAGGUUAAAAAAAACAAUGAAAAAGUGAGCAUGUCAUAACAGAUAGAUGAAAAGUGUGUUUCAAAAAAAAAAACAGAUAGACAAACAGUUUAUAACUUUGACAGUACAAGGAAAUGCAACAUAUACGACAAGAGGUGUAUUUCAAAACCAAGCAAUCCAACAAUCGCGAGCCCGAGUGUUAGACAUCAAAACUGUGCAUGACCCUGGGAAAACUGUUUUACAUUACUUGUCCACUGAAUAUCAGUAGUACAGAUUCUAGCACUUCCACUCCUUACCCUGAUUAAAUGCUCUGGUAAAAGAGAAGUGACUAUAUUAUCAAAUUUAAUAAGGGUAUUGAUGAUCAUUUUACAUUUAUUUUUUCCUGCAACUAGUGUUGCCUUGAUCUGUGUGCAUGGUGUGCUGUGGACAAGAAGAAAAUAGAGGGGGUAAAGAGUGUUUGAUUGUUAGCCACAACUUGCCACGUUUAAGGUUAUGCAAGUUUGAUCAACUUUGAUUGUUGUUUGGUUCAUAGUUACAAAGUUUGUGGGUCAACAAAAUCGGGGAAAGUGGUACAGGUUUUAACACUGCGAGGUCAAAAAUGACCCCACGUACCUAGGUCCGUGUCGGUGUUCUUGUGUUGAGGGCCGAUGCCUUUGAAACCAUUUUAUGUGAUUAUACUUCGGUUGCCACCAAUUAGACCCCACACAUCAAUGACUCAAAAAAGUGUAACAAGAUUCUCUUAGGCUGAUUAAGAUGUGAUAAAUAUUUUGGGCGCCAAACCUUAGAUAAGUGUAGCAACUUUUGUGGCAUAUGAUGACAAUUUGUGGCAAAAACCAAACAUGCACGUAAUCUUAAUUGUAAUUUCUAAGCAACAACAAGCUAUAGUUAGAUACAAAUUGAGCUUAGGUCUUGUCAGUUUGUUACCGUCUGAUUUGAUACAUUUUUAAUAGCCCCUCUUUUGUUUGGUGUACUUAGCUAUAGCUAGUAAACCACUUUGGUUGUACCUUAAUCACCAUCUGACUAGUAAAAGGAGUGCAAUCACUGAACGACGCGCUAGCAUCAUAACUUUUUGGUAGUUAAAUGGUAGGCACUAGUUCUAGAAAGCAUGAAGUCAGGCAAGAGGAAGGUAGGGAAAUGGUUUGUAGUUGAGAUGUGGUGUUGCCGUGUUGGUUAUGUGCAUUAGUUCUACCUUCCACUUCUCAGCCACACACUUGUGGUGCAAGCCUCCUUGUGCAAGCUGGGCUGUUUUUGGUUAGGGAGGAGGAGAAAGAAGGUAAGGAGAGAGGUAGGUCUAGGGGUUUGCUGUCGUCUCUUCAGGAAAGUCACGGCCAAAAUUGCCAUCCCCACGACACGGCAAAGGCACUAGCCCGAAUGGCACUUAUCCAUAACUCCUCUGUCUGUCCUAACUUACUCUUUGUUGCCCCUGCCUACAUGCCCCUUAUAGGCCUGCAUAAAGCUCCCAACUCCCUGCAGGCAUCAUUCUUUUUCACCCUUAAUCUUCUCUCUACCUACCAGUCCUCGCAUUGUUUAGUACAAUUGCCUAUUAUUGGAUUAGGUGUGGUGUUAGUCUCAAAUUUUCUGGCCAUGAAUUAAAAUUUCAUACCAAGUCCCACUAUUGCUUCCCGAGUAAUGUAAACAGUAUGCAUACCAAAGUGCAAGAACCAGGUCUGGGAGUUUAAUUUAUAAACUUAUUGCCAAAAUUAAUGUUUGCCCUCAAAAUCAACUUAGUGCUGUUCCAGCUUCAACAGUCACUAUUGCAGUUGCAGUCUUUAAUUCAGAUUCCAGGAAGACUAGAAAACCUUCAACACUAGUACACUGCCUGACAACCAGAGACUUUGACUUGAGGUCAAAUAGAAACCUAUGUCCUAUAACUAUUCAUAUAGUUCCAAAUCAGAGUUCAAUCGGGAAUCAAUACACACAAUCCUUCAUCAUCGAAAUUCAGAAUGAAGACAUAAAGAGAUAGGGAACUGCAUGAACUUGGACCCAGUAAAGAAAAGAUGCUGUUCUAAAAAUUUGGCAUUCUAGCAUGUUCAAAAGUUUGAUUUCUUUUCUUUUUCUUAAAAAAAUAAAAAAAAUAAAGUUUAAUCUGUUUAUUUUAAAAAAGGCUUAAUUUGUUGUGUGGACAUGAUAAUAUUUUAUGUAUUUCAGCAGUAGUUAUAUUAAUUAGCAUCCUAGACUCAAAAUACUAGUUGCUCUUGUUCACUUAACAUUUCUGGUUUCCGUAUUAGAAGCACUUUGUGCACAAGGUCUACAUAGCUACCAUAUAAGACUCAACACUCAAGUUUCGAAGUAGUGCUUACAUCCAUCACAGUAUCAUCCUUACCCUGUCCCAUGAGCUCCUUUUCAUAGUGCAUCCACAUCCACCAAAAGAUGACAUAAAAACCUUUCAUAUGCUCCUUCGACUCUGUCUGAAUCUGUGAACCAGUGGAUUUCUGCAAAAUAAAUAAAUCAAGAUUCCACUAUGUACCCUACUUCAAUUUUUCUCAAAGAAUUACCUUCAAAUUAAAACAAAACAUAUUUAGUUUAGCAGGGGACACAAUUUCUGUAAUACAACACAUUCGGCUGAUACUGAGUUAAUGGCUAAUUGGACGUUGUAUUAUUUGGUCUGCUGAAGAAGGGUCAAGUUUAUCUUACCAAGUUGUUCAAUCCGUCAACUUAAUAGAUUAUCAACCGAAACUGAAAUAUAACCUAACAGGCACAUCUAGUUUUACCUGGGGAUGCAAUUUUUGUAAAUACAACACCCUUGACUGACACUGAGUUACUGACUAAUUGGAUGUGUUGUUUGGUCUGCUCAAGAGGAUCAAGUUUUACAACUCCAUCAACUCGAUAGAUUAUCACAACCAACCUAAACUGAAAUAUGACCCAACAUACAAAUUUAUCUAGGUAUGGAUAUUUGGUCAGAUUGAUCCCAUGGCAAGCUAAUACCAAUGACAUAUACCAUUCAUUUGCAUGUAGCUGGCCCUCUUUUAACUACCACUAGACCAACUCCUCGUUAGUUUACAAAUGGGUGUUCAAAUAAAAUUAAAUGCACAUUAUUUCCUUCAGUUGCAUAUGUGAUUAACAGUUGAACAAUGGAAUGCCCCAAGAAUAGCCAAAGGAAACCCCAGGAAUGCAGAAGCACACAUUAUUAUUAGUUUUCUUUAUGACAUAUUCCAUCUACCAUAAUUUUCUAAAAGUAUCCCCAGAUAUAUUGUUGUCAUCAAACAAUUUGCAUACACCACCAACAAAGAUGGACAAACAAAGAGUUAUGCUCAUGUUAACAAAUGUCGUUCCUGAACAAACUUCUCAGGUUCAGCUAUGGUGAUCUUAGAACCUUUAUAUCUAAAUUCAAGCCAGAGGCAAGUAUAAUUCUUCUUCACAUUCGGGCUUCACUAAUUCCCCCCACCAUGUUAAAGGGGGGGGGGGGUCAAAGGUGGCCACUUGAGUUGACCCAAAUAUCUAUGGGAACAUAAGGUCUGCAACUCGAUCUGCAUAGCAGUACUUGAGGGAGAAUAAUGGCUGUGGAGUCUGGACCCAAACACUAUUCAACCCAUAAUGUCACUGCAUACAGGAAAGCAGACCUACAUCUCUAAUGGAAUCAGAGAUGCAAGCAUCACUAAGGUUUGAAUUUGGACCACUUACAAUGGUGUGAAGUGAGCAUCAUCCACGUUAGUGCCUUUUACCAAUCAUCCCUCUUAUGAUUCACACAGCAAUGAGUGAUUAAUCCAUUCGGUCUGACGCCUAUGCCCAUAUAAUCUCAAUACAGGUAGCACUGCCUUUGAGAGGCUUUAAUAAACCUGAAAUAUCCUCCAUGUAUCAGAAAUUUUGGUCUAAGGCAUCUCCUCAAAUUUCUCUAUGGGGCAGCAAUAGUGAUCCUGGGGGUCAAAGGUGUUGUCAUUGAGUCUUACAUGAGCUUUUCUAUCAGAUAGCAAUCCAGAAAGAAAGUAUAAAAGUUUUCUAAAAAUAUAAGGUGAUUGGCAAUAUAGAAAACACAAAAAACAUUGAUAUGUUUCUUACUAUUUGGCACGUGCUCAAUGAAGGUACAGUGGUACUAUCGAAGUGUAUUAUACCAAUAAAUGCAAACCUGUGAAGAGACUAAAAUAGAAAAACAGCAUGCUAUACUUACGUGAUGAAUGCUAAUGAACCUAUUUCAAAAAGGCCGUAGGUUAUAGCCAUAAGCUAUCGAGUAGGUUAUUUGGCAUUGUAUAGAGUUGAGUCAUGUUGACAUACAACUACAGGACAACCACAAUACAUGAAACUUGCUCAGAAAAUUGGCUCACACAUAUAUGCCUCUCAAACUACCAUUGUAUCAUAAACGUGUGUACAGAAUAGUGACAAUCCCAUCUUAAAUAGCUACAGCAGAGCUUUAUGUGGGAACCAUUGUAUAGUGGCCAAAACGUUAGAACACUAACAUAUAGGAUCAAUUAGUAGAGUAAAAUGAUGUAACGAACGUCCACUUCCAAAGAGAACUGCAGUUCAUCCAACACGACAAGUUAACAACAUAUACGAAUGCAACAUAAGAACUACUUGCCUAUUGCCUCUAAUGGAACUGAGAGAUGUAAGCAUCGCGAGACUUGCAUUUCCACCACUUACAUCGCUGUGAGCUUGACGCCCUGGUGUCAGUGCCUUCUUGCCAAUCGUCCCCCGUUCGUAGCUUAGUAUAGGUUACCGAUGAAGAAACUAGACGCAUCGCUGCAGCCUUUUGUUCAAUAGCUCUCAGGCAUUUCGUCAAACAUCACGCCGGCCACUGCCUCGAACGCGCCAGGCGCCACCACUCGAGUCUCGAGAGAUGUAGCAGCACCUGGUAGCACACGUCCACAACCUCCACCUCCCCUACCAUUAACGGUGCGGUGCCGCGCCGACCGAACCCAGCUCCGGCCGCGGCGGCGCCCGGCAAGUCAACCGCCAAGGCGAAAGCAUUGCGACAGCAACGGCACGGGAUCAUUCAACAACAAAAAGGACAGACAGACUCACAGAAACAGACACACGAGCCGAUAAAAUCUUGGCCCAUUAUGUGCCGGGCCGGGUUCACAAAGAUUUGGUGGGCUGUAACAGGAGAGGCCCAGGAACUCCCAACGGCUAGUUCGCCCAAACGGCUAGCUCUCCAACGGUCGGACGACCCCCCAAGCAGAUUCAUAUAGAGAUCUCCUGCGGAAUCCAAUGCCGCCUGCUACCAGCGUACUGCCACCACUCCUCCGCUUUCCCGUCAUCUCCCUCCCUGUUGCUCUGCUGCACAGCAAUCGCCUCGUUUCAUAAUAAUAAUAAGGGGAAGUGAGGAGGAGAUUGAGGCGAAGAUGAUGCAGCAGAUGCAGCAGGAGCCGUGGAACGCCGCCGCCGUGGGGCUCCUCCGGCCGACCAAGUCGGCGCCCUGCUCGCCAAUCAAGCCGGCGGCGGCGGCGGCCAUGCUGCGAACCCACUCCGACUCCUUCCACGUCGCGCACAAGGUGCCCGUCGGCGACACGCCGUACGUGCGAGCCAAGCGCGUCCAGGUACGUGUAUGCGCGCGUGCGUUUCUUUAUUUCUUCCCGGGGAUGAUGGGUUCGAUUCGAUUCGAUCUGAUUUGGGUUUCCUCUGCGGCGGCGGUGCAGCUGGUGGACAAGGAUCCGGAGAAGGCGAUCGCGCUGUUCUGGAGUGCGAUCAAUGCCGGCGACCGCGUCGACAGCGCGCUCAAGGACAUGGCCAUCGUGAUGAAGCAGCAGAACCGCGCCGAGGAGGCCAUCGAGGCCAUCAAGUCGCUGCGCAGCCGGUGCUCCGACCAGGCGCAGGAGUCCCUCGACAACAUCCUCCUCGAUCUCUACAAGGUUCGUCGUGCUCGUCCUUCUUCGCCUCCCACGCGUCGACUACCUUUUGUGCACGUAUGUGUUCGAUUGAUGCCUCUGAGAGACGGUACUGAAUCUAAGUGCGUUCUUUGCUGUUGUCCUGAUGCGCAGAGAUGCGGGCGGCUGGACGACCAGAUCUCGCUGCUCAAGCACAAGCUGCAGCUGAUCCACCAGGGCCACGCCUUCAACGGCAAGCGGACCAAAACGGCUCGCUCUCAGGGCCGCAAGUUCCAGGUCACCCUCGAGCAAGAAGCCACCAGGCUCCUUGUAAGUGCACGCAUUUCUCAUAAUUUCUUGCUGAACAAAGCUGAAAUCCAACUCAAAUACUUGGUCACUCCAGGCCUCCAGCUUCAAAUUCAUACCUUCAACUCAAGUGCUCAAUCUUUGUUCGCUGCUGAUCAGUCUUGCCAUUGUUACUGUGCAGGGUAACCUGGGAUGGGCGCUGAUGCAGAAGGAGAACUACACGGAGGCGGAGGGGGCGUACCGUCGGGCGCUGCUUAUCGGGCCGGACAACAACAAGAUGUGCAAUCUGGGCAUCUGCCUCAUGAAGCAGGGCCGCGUGCUCGAGGCCAAGGAUGUGCUCAAGCAGGUACGCCCCGCGGCGGUCGACGGUCUGCGCGGCGCCGACUCCCACCUCAAGGCCUACGAGCGCGCGCAAGAGAUGCUGCGGGACCUCGAGACCAAGCUCGUCGGCCGCCCGCGCGCUGACCAGCUCGACACGAACUGGCUCUUCGAUGCACUGCUGCUGGGAUCGUCCUCGAGCAUCUGGCAGCCGCAGCCGUGCAUCGACCACUUGCUGCCACCUCCGGCUCCGGCUCCGGCUUCGGCUCCAGCACCAGCCCCGGCGCCGCGCGACCGCUUCGCCGAUGAAAACGCCAGUGUCAGCAAGAAGCUGGCGGCGCUCCAGGCGAACAUGCUUAAUGUGGACGCGCAGCCCUUCUACUCUCUGCGAGUGCCGCCGCUUGCAGCGAAGCCUCAUAACACGCUGCCUCAGCAGCAGCCGCAGCAGAAACCACAUAACACGCUGUCUCAGCAGCAGCAGCAGCAGAAGCCAGCUCCUGCCCAUGAUCCCUUGGGCAACCUGAAGAGGACACGGUCCGGCAAUUGCAUGGACAAGGCAGGAGCAGUGGUGGACAAGGAGCAGGAGCAGAGCAUCGACGAGAACAGCGGCAGGAGGAAGUCGCUCUCUGCUGAGGACAGAUGGCCAGAGCUGCCCGACCACAGCGCGUUCGACGAGGCCAUCGUCGCGGCUGUCCUGGGCCCAGUGCUCGACGACGAACCAGCAGCUGCUGAAGGGAACGGCCAUGGCAAGCUGCCGACGAGCUGCGACACGAGCCCAGCGGUGAAGGAAAAGAUCGGCAAGAGGCUGAGGAUCUUCCAGGACAUCACACAGACAGUGAACAAUUUCUGAUUCGUUUCGGUUUUGUUACUCACAACAGGCAGGCUUGAGGUGGCGAUACAGAGAAGGAGAAAGGGCUUGUUCUCCUGGGAGCUCCUGCCUGGCAACUAAAUUAAUCAGGGAUUCAAUUCGAUUUUAAUUUUAAUCAGGGAUUUAAUUAACACACCAAAAUAACAGCUGAUUCUUUUGUUCGCUUCUUCAGCUUGACACUUUAGGAAGCGUGUUCUUCCUUUGCCACAAGGCUCUCCUUGAAAUAGAAGUGGACUGCAUCUUGUUCUAAUUUCGUUUCUUUUGAAAUAACAAAGUUCAUUUGUGCUUAUCCGGCGACUCAUCUGCUGUUUUGACUUUCACUGCAAUCGUGUAUGCAUUCUUCCUGUUCUUCGUCUGUGAAAUUACGGAGCAAUUAUUCAAACAUUGGAAUUGGAAAUUGAUCCGAAACAUUCGAAUUGAAAUCCACGGCCUCUCAUUACGGGCCUGUUUAGUUCCCAAGUAAUGCAAAAACUUUACAACCUAAAUCUUUUUACCAUAAAUUUUACAAAUGCAAACUUUUACAGGUUUAUGUUUAGAUGCAUGCCAAAUCAUGAACGCCACCCAAGGAGAGUUUACACAAUUUUGGGUCUCCAAACUCCCAAAAAUAAAAAGUUUACAGGUCUUUUUUU